RNAcentral lists this long non-coding RNA (71905 nucleotides) under Prunus persica (peach). RNAcentral describes it as "long non-coding RNA (PPER_LNC007603)". Lineage: Eukaryota; Viridiplantae; Streptophyta; Magnoliopsida; Rosales; Rosaceae. The record is from RNAcentral.
GAUUGGGGCCUGCAUUGAUCUUUUACAGUCGGCUACCAAAUGCAAAAUAAGCUUAGAUAUAUGUUUUAAUCACUUCCACAUAUCUUUUUUUUUUUUUAAAGUAGAAAAAUAGGAUAAAAACAGAGGAAAACAUGGGAAAAGAGCUUGCAUUGCAUGCCUGUGGUUUUCUUUCUUUGGAAUAUGCAACUGGAUGAAGAACAAAAAGAGAACAAAUAAAUAAAUUAAAAAAAAAGAAGUAAGAAUGGAAGGUCUGUGAUGGAUUUGUCUUAUUCAGGUCAACCCAAGUCCUUGCUUCUGUGGUGCAUCAGCUGUAUAGGUACAGCCGCUCACAUGAUAGGCACGUGAUGUUUUUUAAAAACAAGAGGAACCGGCUGUUUUGGGUAACAGGUUAAAAGAAGGAAAACAAAACCACGCGCUCGUUCUUCAGCUUGCUCUGAACUGUCGCUCGUCCUACUCCUCUGUAUUGUGGAGCUGGAUAGUCUCGACGGCGCAAACCGGUGGCAGAGGACGGGUCGGACUCGCUUGAAUCGUCUCAGAGCUGCGUCGGCCUUUCGGACCUGCGAUCGUUGUGUCGUCGUGUGAAGAUGCGUUAGAGUUGUUGGGUGGUGCUGCGUUCACGGCAGCAGCGGCAGCGGCGCUGAUAUUGUUGGGAAACGUCAUCGUCGUGGAGGCUUCAACUUCGCCUUCGGCGUUCGUACAAAACGUCAUCUACUCAACAAGAUUGCCGUCUUCUCCAAUUCCUACUGCCCGUAUGUUAUUAUCUCUCUAUUGCUUGUUCAUUUUGGCUUUUGUGAUAAAUUUAAGGUAUUGGGAUUGGAAAUUCAUAAAGCAAUCAAAUGGAAUUUGAGAAUUGUGAGUUGGUCAAUUUGAUAAUUAUGAGAAAUAUUUAGAGUGUUCAUGUUGAGGAAAAUAUGAAUCCAUCAUCUCAAAUGGGACCUUUAUACUAAUUUAUAGAUUACUUUUCAUUUUCAUGGAUUUAUUGCAUUGUUUUCUAAUUCUGGGAAAUAAAUUGCUGCGUUUCAUCUACUAAAUCUUCAGCUUUCUGUUAUUGAAAUAGUUCGCAAGUUGAGUAGAAAUGUUUAGAAAAAGAACUCUGUGCAUGCCUGUGUGUGAAUUUAAGUAAUGUUGAAAUGAGAGAUUGUGUGCUGUUUUGUGGAUUCUUCUUUGAGGGUCUCUUGCUUGGUGAGAAUUGUAGAGACAGAGAAAGGGAAAGUGGGUAGACAGAGCCAAACUCUCACCCAGAAGCAGCUCCUCAUCACUUUCACGUGGUACAACAAAAUUUCAGGCCAAAGCUUGACCAUCAACGUUGGGGACAAAGACAAUACCCCAUCACCAUUCAAAUUCAAUUUCAAUUCACAUGCAUCUGGCUGGGAGAUUUUAGUUCCCACGCAUCUGGCUUCUCUUCGUUGUUGUUUCUUUGUUUUUUCUCUCUUAUUUUUUAAUUUAUUUAGAGCAACAAGUUUGGGUUUUGUAAAUUUUUCUUCCUUCAAAUUUUCCCUUGUCCUUUUUUUAAAAUAAAAAUUAAUAUGAGGUUCUCUAAUCUAUUAAAUUAGAUUUUUUUAAUCGUAGCGUAAGAUUUCAUUUUAUUGUAAAAAAAAUUCAUUCAUCUUAGUCAUCAAAGAAAAUAGAGCAUUGAGAUACCAGUUAGAGAAGAAGAAAGAGAAGAAGAAGAAGAAGAUGAAAAGAGAGGUUGUGGUGAGGUUCAAUCAGGGGUUUGGGUUUAAUGGUGGUGGAGGUGGUGGUGGGAAAGAUGACGGAGCUACUGCUAGAGGCAGCUUGGUUGGAUUUUGGAUGCAAUUGUUUCCAUUUGCGUACUCUCUUUCAUUUAGCAACUGAUUUGGGGUUCUUCUCACAAAUCUUAGUUCCUUUACAUUUCUGAAAAAAAAAACAGGUAGUUUUAUACUAUUUUUGUUUCUAAUAUAAUCAUUUUUAUUUUUGACUCUGACAUCAGCAUGUAGGAUUAUAUCUCUAAUGAAAUUGAUGCCUUUCCACAUCCAGCUCCUUGCAGUGCUUGUAGCAAUUGUUGGUGUGGGUGCUUUUCUGUGGUGGGCAAGGCAGGAUAUGGUUCAAGACAGUGUAAGGCUACUUCUAUUUUUUCUCUUGCUCACUUCUUAAAGCUCAUAGUUUUCUUCAAAUGUGGUAUCAAACAUCUGUUGUUGCCUAGUUAAAACACAACCCAAGUUGUUGAGUGCCUUAAGUUCCAUGCUCUCAAUUUAAUUUCCAUGUUGGCACCUACAAGUGACUGGUAAAACCUUUUUAAUUAUUUAUGUCAGGUUCAAUUAUUUUUUAAAAAUAUAUUAGGUCUUACAUGAUGUUUUGGCAUUUGUGGACGGUUAAUUUAUCAAUCUACAGAUCUUCUAGUGGAUAGUGUACCGUGUACCGAAAUGCUCUAUGAUUUUCUUUUAUUUGGAGUUGACAAUUAAGUAAUGUUGGUGUGCUCUUGAUUUCAAAAAACUGUAUCACAGGUGGUAUAUAAACAGGUAAUCUGGAUUGGUGUUGGAUAGUUUCCAUGAAUAGGCAUGUAGAAAUCUAUUGUGUUAUAAUGAGUUCAUGCUUUCCCAUGUGAGAUGUAUCAGAUAAAUGCAUGAUAUGUAUAGGAUGUUUGGAAAGGGUUUAAGUACGCAAGUGAUACUCUUUCAUGUAACAAUUCACAAACGCUUCAUCUACAUCUUGUAAUUAAGUAAUGUCAGAGUAACAUCAUGAGGGUGAUUUUCAAUUGUGAAGUUUUAUUUAUUUCUUACUCUGAUGUCUUCUGCUUUUAAUGAACAACAACCAUUGUUCCCAUAAAGUGCCAUAUAGUGAGGACUUGAGAAAAUGGUUAUGCGCCAUAUGUUGUUCCCAUAAAGUGCCAUAUAGUAAGGAUGGAUUUCCCAUAAAGGUUUUCUUAUACUGUGUUGCUCGUGAUCUUCUAAUUGCUCGUGAUCUUCUAAUUGCUCGUGAUCUUCUAAGUGCUAGAUAACUUAGUUCAUUUUGAGUAUUUUUAGUUUUAAAUGUAAUUUUUAUUGUGAUUUAAAUAUCAUGUUACAAUGGAUAGAUUUGCAGGUUGUAUGUAAUUAUAUUUAUUUUAAUUAGUUUGCAAUUUCAAUUUUCAAUUUAUUUUUUAAUAUUUAUUUUAUUAUUAGGUUUAGCUUGGUUUUGCUACUGAAUGAGUUAUGAAGCUUUGCAGAAGUGAAUUAACAUAAAUUAACCAAUGCCCCAUUGGUUAUGUUGGUUGUUGAUUGAUUACAAACAAAACAGAUGGAGGAAAGGGUAAUUGUACACCGCUGUCUAGUUUUUGUAUCAUGGGACGUGCAAUUGCGCAGUCUCUUUAAAGCCUAAACUUGAAUAAAAUUCAUUUUUAAUGACUUUUGUAAACCAGGAUAUGCAAUUGCAUACCAUUUAUGCAAUAGUUGACCCUAUAUAUGCAAUUAUUAUCAUUUGUACAAACAAAUUUCACUCUCGUAAGUAGACAAACUAGUGUAGAUUUAAUAAGCAAGUGAAACUUUUUCAGGUUUUUGGAACUCAAAUGGUUUUCAGGUUCUUAUACUCGAGAUCGAUAUUUUAAUCAUUACCCUUAACGUGGAUAGUGAUGAAUCCAAUUUCUGCUAGACCUGGCAAAUGGAUUUGGGGUCAUGUUCGUGUUAACCCGUUAAUUUAAUGGGUUGACACGACACGACCAGUUAAGCUAACAGGUGAGAAAUACCAUACUCAAACACAACCCAUUAAGAAUAAACUAGGAAAUAUAUAUAUAUAUAUAUAUAUAUAUCCCAAAACAAGCUAGCAACCCCCUAUCUCUGCCCUUUUUCUCCCAAUUUUCAUCUUUCAUAAACACCAUCCAAAAAUCUACAAGUUCAGGAUUAGUCUUGCAUAAUGAUAAAACAAGAGAAGCAAAAUGUUGGUUGAUUAGAUUAUUUAUAUAUAAUUAAAAAAAAAUAAAGGGAGGGAGAGAAGAAGAGAAGAAAAAAAUGGAGAGAAAAGAAAGAGAUGGAGAGAAUAAGAAGAAGAAGAAGAAAAAAAGGGAGAGAAGAAGAGAAGAAAAAAAAAUGGAGGGGAGAGAUGGACAAUUUCCGAAAGGGGAGAAGAACAGGAAAAAAGUGAGAGAUUGAGGAAUGUAGAGAAGAGAAAAAAAGAGAGGGGGAGAUGAGAAAGUCGACGAAGAGAGGAAGUGGAAUGAAGGAAAAAUAAUAUUAGAGAGAGAGAGAGAGAGAGAGAGAGAGAAGGAAAAUAAGAAAGAAUUUUAUUUUAUUUUUUUUAAAAAGGCAUGAUGUUGGGGAUAUGAGAUAUUUAAAAAAUAUAUAUUUAAAAAAAAUACAGAAUUACUCUCCUUAACGGGUGGAUGCAAUAUUCGCAAAUUGACCCGACACGACUCGUUAGCUUAAUGGGUUCACUCGUUUUCAACCCGACCCAUUAAGUUCAACCCAAAUAUUGAUAAUUUGAUGCGAAUUCGUGUCAUGUUAACGGGUCGUGUGCAAUAUUGCUGGGUCUAAUUUCUGCACCUCACAAAGGUAAGGUCAAGGAUUGAAAUAUCGGCCGUGCAGAUAAUAUAGGGCCUCCAAUUUAUGGAAAUUUCGAGGAAUAUAUCGUUAUCGUUUUAGGUAUCGGGAAAAAAUCAACAAAAAUGACAAAUAUAAGCAUUGAAAUACGUAAUUUUGGUGUAAAAUGUUCAUAAAUGUUAUGUACAUUAUCAAUGAUUGUAUUAAAAAUUAGGAUUAACCGAACUAGUAGGCAGGGGAGGCCUUGGCAUGAUGCAAGUGGUGCCACUGCAUAGGGCUCCUAAUUUUUUAGGACCUCCGAAUUUCUUUUACUUUAUGUAAUAUAUAUUAAUAUUAUAACAACUGUAUAUAUACUCCAACGUGCCGCACAUUGACACAAAAUUUUAUUUUGUGGAUUUGGUUUCUAGUGCAUAUCCUUUGGUACAAGGUCUAGGUUUGAGUUGGUCUAGGUUUGAGUCUUAGUUAUGUGAAUAUAUUUGUAAUUUUAUUCUCUUUUUAUUAUAAGAACAAAAUUUUAAAUAGUUUUAAAAAGAAGCACGUGAAAAAAUAUAAGGGGACAAUCCAAUUAAAUUAACAAUAGUAUAUAUCACACCCAUAUGCUUUUUCUUUAAAAAAUAAUAAUAAUAAUUUCUUCGACUCAAAACAAAACAAAACAACAUAAAAAAUUAAAAAUCAUGUCUUCUUCUUUCUCAUGAACUCUUAUUUUUUCUUACCGAACAUACCAACAUUUAACUUUAUCAAAUGAACGCAACAUACUCAACGAACACAACCCUUGCGUUCGCGUGAAAAAAUAGUGCGUUUGUUUGAAAAAGAAAGUUAGUGGGGUCCAUUUUCCCGAGGAACGGAUAACUUUACUCUACGAACACACUCCUUGCGUUCGCAUGAAUAAAUAUCCCGUUUGUAUGAAAAAGUAAGUUCAUUUGGCCCAUUUUUCCGGAGAACGGGCAACUUUACUCAACGAACGCAACCUCAGCGUUCGCGUGAACAAAUAACCCGUUUGUUUGAAACAGUAAGUUAGUUGGGCCCAUUUUUCAGGGGAAUGGGCAACUUUACCCAACAAACGCAACCUCUACGUUUACGUGAACAAAUAGUCCGUUUGUUUGAAAAAGUAAUUUAGUUGGGCCCAUUUUUCAGGGAAAUGGGCAACUUUACCCAAUAAACGCAACAUCUACGUUUACGUGAACAAAUAGCCCGUUUAUUUGAAAAAUUAAGUUAGUUUGGCCCAUUUUUCCGAGGAACGGGCAACUUUUCUUAACAAAUGCAACUCCUACGUUCGCGUGAACAAAUAGCCUAUUUGUUUGAAAAAGUAAGUUAGUUGGGCCCAUUUUUUAGGAAACAGACAAGUUUACUCAACGAACGCAACCCAUUGCGUUCGCAUGAACAAAAAGCCAGUUUGUUUGAAAAAGUAAGAUAGUUGGGCCAAUUUUUCCGAAGAAGGAGCAACUUUACUCAACGAACGCAACCCCUGCGUUUACAUGAACAAAUAGCCCGUUUGUUUGAAAAAGUAAGUUAGUUUUGCCCCUUUGUUUGGGGGAACGGGCAACUUUACUCAAUGAACACAAGUCCUGCGUUUACGUGAACAAAUAGCCCGUUUGUUUGAAAAAGUAAAUUAGUUUGGCCCAUUUUUUAGAAGAACGAGCAACUUUACUCCAUGAACGCAACCCCUGCGUUUACGUGAACAAAUAGCCCGUUUGUUUGAAAAAGUGAGUUGGUUGGAUAUAUUUUUUCGGCGAACAGAAAACUCUCCUCAACGAACGCAGCUAUUGCGUUGGUGUGAAAAAAUAUCUCGUUUGUUUAAAAAAGUAAGGUGGUUGGGGCAUGUUUUCGGCGAACGGGUAACUUGUCUCCAAGAACGCACGUAUUGCGUUCAUUUGAAAAAAUACCCUGUUGGUUUAAAAAAGUAACUUUGUUGGCCUUCGUUUGUUUGAAAAAGUAAGUUAGUUUGGACCAUUUUUCCGGGGAACGGACAACUUUACUCAACGAACAUAACCUCUGCGUUGGUGUGAAUAAAUAGUCCGUUUGUUUGAAAAAGUAAAUUAGUUGGGCCCUUUUUUCCAGAGAAUGGGCAACUUUACUCAACAAACGCAACCCAUGCAUUUGAAUGAAUAAAUAGCCCGUUUGUUUGAAAAAAUAAGUUAGUUGGGCCUAUUUUUCCGAAGAAUAGGCAACUUUACUCAAAAAAUGAAACCCAUUGCGUUCGUGUGAACAAAAUAGCCCGUUUGUUUGAAAAAGAAGUUAGUGAGGCCCAUUUUUCCGAAGAACAGGCAACUUUAGUCAACAAAAGCAAGAACAAAUAGCCCGUUUGUUUAAAAAGUAAGUUAGUUAGACUCAUUUUUACGGAGAACGGGCAACUUCACUCAACGAACGCAGCCCUUGCGUUCGCGUGAACAAGUAGUAUUUGUUUGAAAAAGUAAGUUAGUUGGGUCCAAUUUCACGAGGAAUGGCCAAUUUUAAUCAACGAAUGCACCCCUUACUUCCUCGAAGUAAAAUACCUUGUUUGUUGAGUAAAUCAUGGAGUUCGUUGGGUAAUGUGGUCAACGGGCAACAUCAUUUACCCGACGAACGAGUCACUUAGCUUUCGUUAGGUAGGUUUGUUGGCAUAAAUUACUCAAUAUAACUUUCGUGAUUUACUACUAAUUUAACCCAAUGAACUAUUGGGAAUAAAAUUGAACUUUGUUGAUUGUCUCCAAUUAUUACAACAUUGUUAAUUGAAAAAAAUAUAUAAUAUCAAACAUAUGAUUGUUGAUACAAAUAUAAAUUUAAAAACUUUCAACAAAAAUUAUUACUUAAUGAUCGAUUGAUUAUGACAGGACCCGACCCAAUUUCCGCUUUGGAAUUCGAGUCGAAUCCUGUGCGUGUCCGACAUCUGGCGAAUGUCGGGCACAAAAGACCUUUUUACCCUUCUCGUCUUAAAUUCCUUUUCAGAUUUUCCUUAGACUUCUGCCGAAAUUUCGGCAGAGUCUCCCCUGUAUUUUGACCAAUCCCAAAAAAAUUUCCACCUGUUAAACAAUCAAGUAAAGCUACACCAACUGCCAGGACAGAAUACCCAAGUAUUCAUCAAUUCCAGUUUUCCACUAAAACUAGAUAUCAGAGCAUUUCUAACGUUCACAAGGUUUCAAGGACUUUUCUACAUAAUUCUACCUUACUUUUUAGAUAUUUUCUUUCUUUCUAGAUAUUUUGGUUUGGGUUAUUACAGAUUAAGCCACAUUGAAUUGAUGAAAAAGAAAAUUGGACUCUUUCGAUUAUGAUCAAUGCCCAAUUGAUAAUAUAUGAUCAUGAAUGUUUAUGACAUGAAGUGAAAGUAUGAGAAGUCUUCUUAUAUCGAGUCUCAUUGCAUAGCCCUGAUACGAACCAUAUUCCAAGUAUUAUUGUGCUAUUAUGAUUUUAGACUAAAUAUCAUAGUUGAAAACAACGAUUUUACCCAUAAAUGAUGGUGAAAUAUCCAGAAAAGAAAGCAACAUCACGUGUUUGGCUUUAUGGCAUAUAUUUAACAUCCUUUCAUAUUAUCUUAUUUUACAUAAUUCAAUUAUUUUUAACGUAUGAAAUGACCAAUUUUCCCUCAUAUUUAAUGACAGAUUGGAUGAAAUGUUAGGUAAUUAAACGGCAGGGAAGAUAUUGGCGAUAAAGACAAAUUCAUAUCCUUAAUUUUAUAAAAAAAAAUGUCAUGAGAUAAAUUGAAAAUUGGGUACAAGUUCAAGGACUAGAUCAACAAUUUAGCCAUGUUUAAUGGUUUUUGGGCAUAUAUCGCAUAUUUGAUAGCACAUGUGUGCAAUUCUCAGUUUAUAAUAUGCAUAUGCAUAAACCUGUAUGCAAUUUUGUAGCAUCUAUGUGCAAUUCUCAUUUUACAAUAUGCAAUUGCAUACAUAUGUAUGCAAUUUCGUAAUGUCUGUUUGCAAUUCUUAGUUUACAAUAUGCAAUUGCAUUCUGUUAGUAUGCAAAUUGUAUUGUCAUUUCCUAGACUCUAGCAUAGGUUGAAAAUUAGUGUGUGAAGAAUUGUUACUGGACGUUUUGGCACAACUCAUUCAACCCCAUACAUCCGAGGCUUGACUUGACCGAUAUGAGAAACUUGAUUUCAGGUAAAUCAUGACAUAAUCAUGCAUUCAUUAUAGGAUUCCUAGUUUGAGUUUUUUUGUUUUAAUAGAUAUUGUUUUUCUAUUAAAAAUUGAUUGGUUGGCGUUUUUCAAUAAGAAUCCAUAUUGAACUAAUAUUCAUGUUGGAAAACCAAUUGUGGUCUUCUUAAGAGUCCAAAUUAAGCUAAAAGUUCUCAGUUAUAAUUGAAGUGGGUUUGGUACUCGUGUGCGGCCAUCUGACUAGGUAUAGGAAGCUUUGAAUAAAAGCAGCUUGCAUCUCUUUGGUUUUUCAUAGUUUUUGAUAUUGGGUUAAGCAUAUAGAAUUCUUAAGCAAAAGCUGUUGUGCACAUAUUUGAGAUAAAUCAUCAAGUGUUCCAUGUUUACUUGGUGAUUUAUCAAACACUUUAAUCAUUCAUAUUGCAUUCAUAUGCAUGUCGGUGACUCAUACGGUUGAGUGCACCAAAACCGUGGUGGCGGUUUUCCUCCGGCGAGCUUGAAGCAAUCGUGGCCAGUAUUGCGUUCAACAUAAGGAGUGUCGAAGAUCAUCCCGUGACAGAAGUUGAGUUACGAAGAAGUCGGUAAACAUUAUCUAGAAUGAGUCUAGGAUAAGUGUGUGAGUACUUCUUGUAAUCAUCGUUCUAUAGUGGAUUUGAGUUGGACUGAGGAGUCCCGUGGAUUUUCCCCAGAGGUGGGGUUUUACCACGUAAAAUAAUUCUCUGCGUGUUCUUUUAUUUUAAGCUUUGCACAUCUCAGGAUUGAUAACUAAUAUCAAUCCUGCUUCAAAGGUUGAUCAUUAUUUAUUGCAAAAAUUCGAAUUAGCUUGUUUAACAUUCUCCAGGCAUAUAUAGAUAUCCUACAGGUAUUUUCACAUUCCGCCCUUCUUUUGGUUUUUAACUUUGUUGUUUUUACCAGAAGGCUCAUUGGAUCACACUCUUAUAAUGUAUGCAAAGAUCACCAAAUUUCCUCUUUUUGGCUAGAGGGCCUCUUUUUUGUGUGUGUUCAUUUGCAUGACAAUACGGAUAAUCUACUACUACCUAAAAGCUAUAGAAAAUUAAAUGUCAUAUAAUCUAUUUUCUCUAACCAAGACUACAUGUCACAUAAAUAAGAAAUAAGAUCUCAAAAAAGAAAUUAGAAACAGAACUGUGCAUCCAAAACCUGGGUUUAGGGAGAGAGAGAGUAUGAAAACAUGAGUUUACGAUAACUUACAUAACUCCAUACCUUUUUCAUGAUGAGCUUUCACUUACAAAAACAUUUCAAUUUAGACAUGUGAAAACUCUAAAAUUGGGUUCCCAAAUUAAAUUUCUUUGUUUUGUCAUAUAAUUCACACUAUUAACAAGAAAGAUUACGCAAGCAGUCAAUUGGAGUUUUCCCCUUCGUACCAAUUUCCUUCGGCACUACAUUCGCCAACUGCUGCCAUUUUUUGCAUUCCGGAAGUUACCUGCAAAAUGUUUAUAAUUAAAACCAAAUUGGGAAGAAGCUAAAAAAACACACUGACAAAUGACAACAAUUUGUAACCUGUGGCCUAAAGGAGGAGUUGGAAAACAUUGAAUUUUCCACUCUCAAGUUGCACCCUCUGCAGCCAAACAGAUAAGAAGGAUCAAAGCACAAAUUGAGAAUUGGAGUUUCGUAUGCAUUUAGUUUUAUUUUUGCCCAAUUAUUUCAGAGAGAGAGAGAGAGAGAGAGAUUACACGGGAAGCAGGUGAGAAAGUGAAGCCUAGUGUGUGCAGGAAGCCAUCAUUGUGCAUUGGCCUCUGCGUUAUCCUCCACUUCGAUCUUAGGUUUAGAGUUUUAGCGGUUCUUGUAUAAAUUGAUAGUACCUGCCUUCUACUUUAACUCAAUAUCUCAAGAGCAAUGAUAUUAUUUCUUUCACAAAGAAAAAGAUACAAUUUCUCAACUAACUCCCUCAAAUACAGACUCACUUAGUUAAUAUAGAGUUAACCUAACCAACUGUCAACUAAGCAUAGCCUAACUAAUGGUUAACAACUAAGCUAGUUCCAGCUUAUAUAGAGAUUCCUAUCUACCCUCCCCACAAAAACAAUCCUUGUCCUCAAGGAUGAAAUUCUGGAAUUCGAACCAACAAGUUGCUGCCAUUUCAGUGAUGGAUGUGUGCCAUUGAACUCAUAUUGUUGUAGCAAUAUAUUAAUUGGUUGGCUUGAACAAGGCCACCAUCAGAGCAUGCAAUUACAGAGAUGCUGAACCAAACAAUGCUCAUGGUCUCACUGCUGCUGGAUUGGCAGCCCACCCACAUAAAACUCCCCAAUUAUUGGAAAGCUCACUAACACAUCAAUGGCUCCAAGUCCUUUGGAAUGAGCCCUGGGAGAAAGAAGUAAAGCUCUCAAUGACUCAAGCUCAUAGCCAUAAACCUUGCAGAAAUUUUCUUCUUUUCCAGUAUGCCCAUUAUCAACUUCAAAUCCACCACCUUGGCCACGUAUGCCCAGAAGGUAGCCAACAUCAAAAUCAAGAAUGCAAUUACCCAACGGAAGAGUAAAAACAGUGUGGACACAAUCAUAAUCCUGGACCCUAACCAUUUGAAUAGUGCCAAACCAAUGAAAUUUCGUGAACUACCAGAAUCAAGGAAAAUGACAACUGAACAAUUCUUGAUAAAGCCCUGUAUAACCUUGAGCAAUUUUAGAUUUGGCGUAGAGGCUUCUUGAACAGGAACAAAACGAAGCAAGUACAAGUCCUGGCGAAGCUCUCUGCCAUCAACCCUCCAAUGAAGCAACUCGUGAGAAACUCACCACCACCAUCGUCUCGAAUGCCCAUAUGGUAGCCAAGAUCAAAAUCAAGAAGUGCAGUACCGCCAUUGCAUACCCAACAUGAGUGUGACAUUUCAGCAAACAAAUGGAGAGCAUGUGGUGAUCUGCCAGAUGUAUCAACCCCAAAACCCAAUUGCUUCCAAGCUUCUUGAUAAAGAUUCUUCAAAGACAAAAACCGAGUAAUCUUCUGAAUUGAACCGAUGGAAAAAGAAGACAACUAAGCAGGCAAACCUUGCGUGGAUGGUGAUUCCGGAAUCGGCGAUGUCCGAUGACUGUUGCAUCUCGGCGUCGGCAGAGGUGAGACUCCCAGAUUCUGAUUUGGGGACACAGAUGAGGAUUGGAUUUCCAAGAGAGAGAUCGAUCGCAGAGAUAAGCAGCUCCAGUGCACGUGAGGACUUCCGCACUUUUGUUGAAGCUUUUUACUUGUUUUCUCAGUCACGUGUAUGUCACGUGAUAUUUAGUAACAAAAGGCACAACAAGUCUUCCGGUCAUUCAAUCUUAGCCCUUCAUUUUUAAAAUGCAAUACUGGCCUUUGGAUUACUGGCUGCACCGGUACAGCUGAUGUUGACAGGAAACCGAAGCGGACCCCGUCUUUAUUCCGACAUCUUCCCGAUGCCGGGCCCACUUACCAAAAACUCGAGACUUUCUGCCAAAAUUUUGACAGUCUCCCUUGUAAUUUAGGCAAUCCCAACAAAAAUAAUCAACCUGCAACAAACAUAAAAUGAAAAUCCCAACCAGCAGCAUGCUUUCGCAAUUCUACAAGUCAUACUAGAAUGGCCUACGGCCUCACAAGUAAAAUCUACCAUGGGCGAUACAGAGCAUCUACUGAAUUUAGAUUGCAAGAACAGUUGAGUAGAAGAAAUUACUCAGUUCCUAACUAGAAAGGUUCACAGUUCGGGCCUCGUACACCCCUUGCACGCUUCCUGGAGCGACUACUGGCUGGGGGGCGCAAAACAGAAAAUAUGUCAGUGGACAAAAACCAGAUUUGCAGUUAAAAACAAUAUAGUAACCCCACCAUGUAAAAAUAAUGCUCAAGUCAUGCAGGUUCACAAUUCAAUAAUUAAAUUACUCAAAACUUGAUUCAUUAAAACUUUUCAAAAAACACCAGUUAUCUCCUUCAAAAAGAAUCCCAUUCUCUCAAUUUUACAACUCCUGUCAAACCACCACAAGACUCUAAUUCUUCACUCCCUCAACUAUACGUAUACAUAUAAAUAUACAUAUAUAUAAAUAUGACUAUAAAUAGCUAUACGCUAUACUCAUCACACCACCUAGGUACCGGGGAAACAAUCCAACUGGGGGAUCGUUUGACUAGUCCGCGGGAUUUCCAGGUGCUAUCCUGCGUCUAGGGAUGAGCGGUCCAACCGGGGGACGAAACUCCAAAGCUCCCACACCGGAACAUCCAACGCCAUGUGUGGCUCCCAAACUAUGUCCUACGCGCGCAGACUGGAUCAUCACACACUGGAACAUCCAACGCCAUGGUGAUGACCCUAAACUCUAUACAAGUCUUUCCAUAUGCCGGAACAUCCAACGCCGCAUAUGGAAAGUGUCUCACACGCCGGAACAUCCAACGCCGCGAGUGAGACUGAUAAUUGGGGAAGGUACUUACAUAGUGUAAUCCUACAACUUCUCUAAACAAUCCAAGUAUCUCGUCUAUAGAGAAUAUAUAUAAAUAUACUUCCCCACAAUCCAUGUAAAAUGCACUCUCAAUACCCACAAUGCCAAACUCACAAUAUAUUGCCAAGCGCUAUGCAACCACCAUUAUCAACUCAUGAAUAUAAUAUAUACUCAAAAAGCCAUUAAAACAUUAUGCAAAAUCUUUCAUCAAUUAAAAACCAUGCAUAUGAUUGAAAACAAAGUCCACUCACAGAUAUUCCCACGCUGCCUGACCACGUGAGGGUCCUGCCUGCUGAGUACGCGCAGUCGAAACACCUAUUUCGAGAUACGAACCAUUAAUUAAUAUAAAAUUACGUCGAAGUGGAAAUCACAAAUUAAAUGAUUAAUUCCCCAAAUUCCCCAUACGUGCACGUUGAAGAAGGUAUCCUAAGCUCCGAUUCCAGGUUUAGGAAUCGUUCACGAUUUUACGGUUAUCGCUAACCCGCAAACUUUGCACUAUUGAAUUGGAACAUCCGGGGCUCCGAUUCAUAAUUCGUGAAGUCCCAUACGGUCCUAGGAAUACCUAGAACAACAUAUUUUAAUUCGAGAAAGAUCUAACGGUCGGAACCUAUCGAACCCGGAUAACGCACAAUAUGCGAAAAUCCGUUCGAUAGUCAAACGACAUCCGAAUUGAGAUCCGCGAAUUCCUAUGCACUCGUGACAACCUAAGGAUCUCAUCGGGUUAAAUAGACGCCUCACCAGGCUCGCCCACGCGUCGCCACACGCGCCGCCAGCGCGUGGGUGUGUAGAGUAAUUCCGGAAAUGGGAAAACUCCACACCCAAGCUCACCCUUCCUACCCUAGCUUCUACUCAAGGUCAGGAUCACUUCAUUUAACUACAGGAAGGCCCAAUUCGGGCGGCAACUGGCCGGAAUUUCAUUUUGAAAUCCGGCCAAAACCUAGGUUUUCAAAAUCAAUUCCUACCCAGCAAAUCAAUCCAAACCUAUAGAACCAUCAGCUAGAACUCGAAAAAUGGAUGAGAAACCAUACCUCACCCGUCUGAAAUAGUGGUCGGAGGAGAGAGAACGAGUGACUGGAAUUUCAGACGAAAAUCGGCCUGAAAUUCGUGUUUCCCGACGACGUGGCGGCGGCUGACGGCGGGAGGUGGGUCGGGGAACGUCGGCGACGUCUGGCCGGAGGUUUCGGGUCCAGUCUCGCGGCUGGCCGUGGCCUGUGACGGUGGCCGUGCCUUUUGCAGUCGAAGGAGGAGGAGGGACGACGCGGGAGAGAGAGAAUCGGGAGAAAGAGAGAGAGAGGGAUAAAACUGGAAAAAUCUGAUUUUUUACUCUAACCCUUUUUGAAAUAUUUACAAGUUUGCCACUGAUACUGUUUUGCCCGUAACUUUUUCGUUACAACUCCGAAACAAGCCUACCACGUGUCUACGAAUUCGUCUCAGUACCACCUACCCAGAAAUAUCAUUCGUGGUCCCAAAAUCCUUUCGGAUAAGAAAGUGACCAAUUUACCCCUACCCCAAGGGUAAAUUGGUAAUUUUAAUUAAAUCGAUUAAAAUAAACACUUAAUUUGGAGUCGGGGUGUUACAAUCUACCCCCCUUAUAAAAAUUUCGUCCCCGAAAUUCACGUACCUAUGAAUGGAAGAGAUAAGGGUACUUGACCCUCAUUUGCGCUUCAGGCUCCCAUGUAGCUUCUUCCACGGUUUGGCUUCUCCACAGAACCUUCACUACUGGAAUAAAUCUGGAGCGCAACAUUUGCUCUUUCCUAUCCAGGAUUUGCACAGGCUGCUCUUCAUAUGACAAAUCUUCUUCUACCUCCACCGGUUGAUAUUCUAAAAUAUGAGAAGGGUCUGACAUAUAUUUCCGAAGCAUAGAUACAUGAAAUACAUCAUGGACUUGAGAUAGUUCUGCAGGUAAUGCAAGUCUAUAAGCAACAGGUCCGAUGCGUUCAGUAAUCUCAUAGGGUCCAAUAUAACGAGGGCUUAACUUCCCACGUUUCCCGAAUCUCAUCACACCCUUCCAAGGAGAUAACUUCAGAAACACCCAAUCCCCAACUGCAAAUUCAAGAUCCUUGGACCUAUUAUCUGCAUAACUCUUCUGUCGGUCUUGUGCGAUCUUCAGCUUCUCUUUAAUCAUCUUCACCUUCUCGGUUGUUGCUUGGAUACUAUCCACUUUUUCCAACUUCUUAUCUCCCACUUCAUUCCAACAAAUAGGAGUCCUACAUUGUCUCCCAUAUAACGCCUCAUAAGGAGCCAUCUUUAUACUCGCAUGAUAACUGUUAUUGUACGCAAAUUCCACCAAGGCAAGAUGAGUAUCCCAUGAAUCUUUCAUCUGCAGCACACACGACCUCAACAUAUCCUCCAAAGUCUGGAUAGUUCUUUCUGAUUGUCCAUCAGUCUGUGGGUGAAAAGCUGUGCUGAACUGCAACCUAGUACCCAUGGCUUCCUGCAAACACUUCCAGAAUCGAGAAGUGAAUCGGGCAUCCCUGUCUGAUACAAUGGACACAGGUGCUCCAUGUAAUCUCACAAUCUCAUCCACAAAAAGUUUUGCCAACUUCGUCAGAGAAUAAGUUUCCUUAAUGGGUAGGAAAUGGGUUGACUUGGUGAGUCUAUCCACUAUCACCCAAAUUCCAUCAUGUCCCUUGGAAGUACGUGGAAGCUUGAAAACAAAAUCCAUGGUAAUGCGUUCCCACUUCCAUUCAGGAAUUGGAAGUGGUUGCAUAAGCCCUGAAGGUUUCUGUCGCUCAGCUUUCACUUGUUGACAAAUCAAGCAUCUACUUACAUACUUGGCAAUGUCUCCCUUCAUAUGCGGCCAUGAGUAAUAUUCCCGUAGGGUUCGAUACAUCUUGGUACUUCCUGGAUGCAUAGUGUAAGUGGAACAGUGAGCUUCCUCCAGGAUUUCUCUUUUCAGAUAAUCAUUCUUUGGUACAUGGAGGCGAGUUCCCGUUACCAACGCCCCAUCUCCCCUUAUUGCAUAAUCUUUCCGUGAACCACUUUCUACUUCUCCCCUUAUUCUACAAAGUGUCGGGUCUCCCAACUGGGCUACAAUUAUCCGCUCCACCAAAAUGGGUCUCACAUGUAAACUAGCAAGUAUUCCACCCUGUUGCGUCAUUUCCAGCUCCACACCAUCCUUCCGCAGUUCCACUAAUAACGGAAGAUAUGUUGUCCUGAGAUGAGUCAAACUUCCAGUAGUCUUUCUACUCAAUGCAUCUGCAACCACAUUAGCUCGGCCUGGAUAAUACUCAAUCGUGCAGUCAUAAUCCUUUAUCAAUUCCAACCAACGCCGUUGUCUCAUAUUAAGCUCCCUUUGAGUGAAAAAAUACUUGAGGCUUUUAUGAUCAGUGAAAAUCUGACACGUCUCACCAUACAAAUAAUGCCGCCAAAUCUUGAGAGCGAACACUACUGCGGCAAGUUCUAGAUCAUGAACCGGAUAAUUCUGCUCAUGCUUCUUGAGUUGCCUCGAGGCAUAAGCAAUCACCCGAUCAUGUUGCAUCAGAACACAUCCCAAACCUUGCAAAGAUGCAUCACUGUAGAUCACAAAGUUUCCUGCAUUAUCCGGAAGAGCCAAAACAGGUGCGGUGGUUAAUCGCUUCUUUAAUUCCUGAAAACUCUGUUCACAUUCUUCUGUCCACUCAAAUGCAAUAUCUUUCCUUGUCAACCGUGUGAGAGGUGCUGCUAUCGAAGAGAACCCUUCCACAAAUCGACGAUAGUAGCCUGCCAAUCCCAGAAAACUCCGUAUUUCUGUCACACUGGUGGAUUGUACCCAAUUCACAAUAGCUUCAACUUUCUGUGGAUCCACAUAAAUCCCUUCAGCUGAAAUUACAUGUCCUAGAAAUACCACUAUGUCCAGCCAGAACUGACACUUACUAAAUUUAGCAUAAAGUUGCUUCCUUCUCAAAGUUCUCAAUACCACCCUCAGAUGCUUCUUAUGCCCUUCCAAAGUCUGGGAGUAAACCAAGAUAUCGUCUAUGAACACAAUCACAAAGUGAUCCAAGUAUGGUCGGAACACUCUGUUCAUGAGAUCCAUAAAUGCUGCUGGAGCAUUCGUCAGUCCAAACGGCAUCACCAGAAAUUCAUAAUGUCCAUACCGUGUUCUGAGCGCGGUGUUAGGAAUAUCCUCUUCCCUGAUCCUCAACUGGUGGUAUCCUGAUCUCAGAUCGAUCUUAGAAAAAUACUUAGCACCCUUCAACUGAUCAAACAAAUCAUCAAUCCGAGGCAACGGAUACCGGUUACGUAUCGUCACCUUAUUCAACUGCCGGUAAUCAAUACAUAACCUCAUGGUCCCAUCUUGCUUCCUUACGAACAACACAGGUGCACCCCACGGUGAAACACUGGGUCUGAUAAACCUAAGAUCCACUAACUCCUGUAAUUGAAUCUUCAACUCCCGGAGUUCAGCUGGCGCCAUCCUAUAGGGGGUUUGAUAAAUAGGGUUGGUGCCCGGAAGAAAAUCGAUAGUGAACUCGAUUUCCCUUUUAGGGGGUAAACCAGGGAGAUCAUCUGGAAAGAUAUUGGGGAAUUCACAAACAACAGGAAUAUCUUCCAAAUUUAAGGUGAUCUCUCGAGUAUCGAUAAUAUGCGCCAAGUACCCUUCAUAACCCUUUUUAAGUAACUUCUUGGCUGUGAUAGCAGAGAUAAGACAAGUAGGGAGAACUCUACGCUCCCCACGGAAAGUAACUUUAGGUUGUCCUGGACUCCGAAGCGUUACUUCCUUCCGAAAACAAUCCACUGAUGCAUGAUGUUUCUCUAGCCAAUCCAUCCCCAAUAUAAUAUCCAAAUCCACCAAAUCUAAAGGAAUUAAAUUCGCUUCCAACCAUGCAUCAUCUACUUGGACAAAACAAUUUCUGAAUACCCGAUCUGCAUACAAGACUUCUCCCGUAGGUAGAGAAAUACUAAAACUUCCUGUUAUAGGUGUGGGUCUAAUACUGAUAUACGGUAUGAAAUUGUGUGCUACAAAGGAGUGUGUGGCCCCCGGGUCAAUUAGAACACGUGCAAGAUAACCAAAAAUCGGAAUCAUACCAGUAAUCACGUCUGGGGUAGCAUAUGCUUCUUGCUGAGUCAUAGAGAACACUCGGGCCUGAGUAGUGGAACGCCCAGGUUGACCUCUUGAUUGCCUACCACUUCUGCCUCUAGAAGAUGACGGUGCCUUGCUACUGGAUGACCCUGCUGCAGAGGAAGAGACACUACCUUGAUUCUGAUUCUGACCCAUAAUACCUUGCCCCUGCUGGGCCCCAGUUCCCUGAAUUGCUGCGUCAUUCUGAAGUAUAAUUGGGCAGCUUCUCUUAGUAUGCCCCACUUGCCCACAAAAGUAGCAUGUCAGGCUAUUACUCUGACUCGGUCCACCUCCCUGAGUAUAGCUGGGACAAUCCUUUGCAAUGUGCCCAACCUGUCCACAAUUAAAACAUGUCAACCCAGUGUGCCUGGAAGGAGCCCUGGCAGUGCUAGCUGUAGACUGUGGCCUGAAUACUGAGUCCAAGCCGGACGAGAACCAGAUCUCCCACUACUAGAACUAGAUCCCCGUCCUUCUGACCAUCCACCACUAGCAGAACUGGAACUAGAUCCUCCCCUCUUUGAUGGACCCUGACUGGGCCCACCAAUUCCUGGUGUAUCCCUACGGCGCCUACCCACAUUUCCACCAAGUUUCCUCGACACCCUUUCAACUGCAUGAGCCAACGCCCUCAUAUUUGGAUAAGUGUUAGCAGUAAUCACUGCCUGAAUUUCCCACCACAAACCUUCCUCAAAUCGUCUACAUCUGUCCUCCUCUGUGGCAACCAGCUCUGGAGCAAAUCUGGACAACUCAUUAAACUUGUGUUCAUACUCCAUUACUGACAUAGACCCCUGUUUCAGGUAAAGAAACUCUGACUUCUUUGCAUGUCUAUAAGAAGGUGGGUAAAACUGUUCUGAAAAGACUCGCUGAAAUUCUUCCCAGUUUAUAGCAGCCGGAUUUUCAUACCCUCUUUUUACUGCCUUCCACCAAUGAUAAGCAUUGCCCUUGAGUAGAAAGGUAGCCAAGCGGACUCUAUCCUCAGCUGGGCAUUCCAAAACCUCAAAAAUUCUUUCCACAUCAGUAAUCCAUGAUUCUGCUUCUGCUGGGUCUGUACUACCCACGAAUUCUUUUGCUCCAAGUUCUUUAACUCUCUUAAUUUCAGAACUUUCUGUACCGCGCCUUCCCCGUAAGGCUGUAGCCAUUGUGCGAGUAAACUGGCUGAGCACAUGCCUCAUAUCCACAGCAUUAUCUCCAGCGGGUGGGGAUGGUGGAGGCGAAGGUACUGGUGGUGAAGGAGGGGGUGACGGAGAUGGAGGUGGAGGAUUCGGCCCCCAUCUCUGACCGCGACCUCUUGUUCUAGCUCUGCGAGCAGACAUGAUUCUACACAAAGAAAUCGCAAAAUCAUUAGAUCAACAAUGCAACAAAAGUGCAAUAGUCGAAGGAAAAUGAACCUAAUGCUCUGAUACCAAGCUGACAGGACCCGCCCCGGAAUUUCUCGAAAACCGAAGCGGACCCCGUCUUUGUUCCGACAUCUUCCCGAUGCCGGGCCCACUUACCAAAAACUCGAGACUUUCUGCCAAAAUUUUGGCAGAGUCUCCCCUGUAAUUUAGGCAAUCCCAACAAAAAUAAUCAACCUGCAACAAACAUAAAAUGAAAAUCCCAACCAGCAGCAUGCUUUCACAAUUCUACAAGUCAUACUAGAAUGGCCUACGGCCUCACAAGUAAAAUCUACCAUGGGCGAUACAGAGCAUCUACUGAAUUUAGAUUACAAGAACAGUUGAGUAGAAGAAAUUACUCAGUUCCUAACUAGAAAGGUUCACAGUUCGGGCCUCGUACACCCCUUGCACGCUUCCUGGAGCGACUACUGUCUGGGGGGCGCAAAACAGAAAAUAUGUCAGUGGACAAAAACCAGAUUUGCAGUUAAAAACAAUAUAGUAACCCCACCAUGUAAAAAUAAUGCUCAAGUCAUGCAGGUUCACAAUUCAAUAAUUAAAUUACUCAAAACUUGAUUCAUUAAAACUUUUCAAAAAACACCAGUUAUCUCCUUCAAAAAGAAUCCCAUUCUCUCAAUUUUACAACUCCUGUCAAACCACCACAAGACUCUAAUUCUUCACUCCCUCAACUAUACGUAUACAUAUAAAUAUACAUAUAUAUAAAUAUGACUAUAAAUAGCUAUACGCUAUACUCAUCACACCACCUAGGUACCGGGGAAACAAUCCAACUGGGGGAUCGUUUGACUAGUCCGCGGGAUUUCCAGGUGCUAUCCUGCGUCUAGGGAUGAGCGGUCCAACCGGGGGACGAAACUCCAAAGCUCCCACACCGGAACAUCCAACGCCAUGUGUGGCUCCCAAACUAUGUCCUACGCUCGCAGACUGGAUCAUCACACACCGGAACAUCCAACGCCAUGGUGAUGAUCCUAAACUCUAUACAAGUCUUUCCAUAUGCCGGAACAUCCAACACCGCAUAUGGAAAGUGUCUCACACGCCGGAACAUCCAACGCCGCGAGUGAGACUGAUAAUUGGGGAAGGUACUUACAUAGUGUAAUCCUACAACUUCUCUCAACAAUCCAAGUAUCUCGUCUAUAGAGAAUAUAUAUAAAUAUACUUCCCCACAACCCAUAUAAAAUGCACUCUCAGUACCCACAAUGCCAAACUCACAAUAUAUUGCCAAGCGCUAUGCAACCACCAUAAUCAACUCAUGAAUAUAAUAUAUACUCAAAAAGCCAUUAAAACAUUAUGCAAAAUCUUUCAUCAAUUAAAAACCAUGCAUAUGAUUGAAAACAAAGUCCACUCACAGAUAUUCCCACGCUGCUUGACCACGUGAGGGUCCUGCCUGCUGAGUACGCGCAGUCGAAACAACUAUUUCGAGAUACGAACCGUUAAUUAAUAUAAAAUUACGUCGAAGUGGAAAUCACAAAUUAAAUGAUUAAUUCCCCAAAUUCCCCAUACGUGCACGUUGAAGAAGGUAUCCUAAGGUCCGAUUACAGGUUUAGGAAUCGUUCACGAUUUUACGGUUAUCGCUAACCCGCAAACUUUGCACUAUUGAAUUGGAACAUCCGGGGCUCCGAUUCAUAAUUCGUGAAGUCCCAUACGGUCCUAGGAAUACCUAGAACAACAUAUUUUAAUUCGAGAAAGAUCUAACGGUCGGAACUUAUCGAACCCGGAUAACGCACAAUAUGCGAAAAUCCGUUCGAUAGUCAAACGACAUCCGAAUUGAGAUCCGCGAAUUCCUAUGCGCUCGUGACAACCUAAGGAUCUCAUCGGGUUAAAUAGCCGCCUCACCAGGCUCGCCCACGCGCCGGCAGCGAGUGGGUGUGUAGAGUAAUUCCGGAAAUGGAAAAACUCCACACCCGAGCUCACCCUUCCUACCCUAGCUUCUACUCAAGGUCAGGAUCACUUCAUUUAACUACGGGAAGGCCCAAUUCGGGAGGCAACUGGCCGGAAUUUCAUUUUGAAAUCCGGCCAAAACCUAGGUUUUCAAAAUCAAUUCCUACCCAGCAAAUCAAUCCAAACCUAUAGAACCAUCAGCUAGAACUCGAAAAAUGGAUGAGAAACCAUACCUCACCUGUCUGAAAUAGUGGUCGGAGGAGAGAGAACGAGUGACUGGAAUUUCAGACGAAAAUCGGCCUGAAAUUCGUGUUUCCCGACGACGUGGCGGCGGCUGACGGCUGGAGGUGGGUCGGGUAACGUCGGCGACGUCUGGUCGGAGGUUUCGGGUCCGGUCUCGCAGCUGGCCGUGGCCUGUGACGGUGGCCGUGUGUUUUGCAGUCGAAGGAGGAGGAGGGACGACGCGGGAGAGAGAGAAUCGGGAGAAAGAGAGAGAGAGGGAUAAAACUGGAAAAAUCUGAUUAAAAGGGGUAAAAGGAAGAAACAAGAAUUUGAGUUUUAUUGAAAUAAGAGUUACAACUAACUCUUAUUGGCUGAAUAAAACUCAACUGGAAUAGAUAAUGUCUGGUUUGGUCGGCUCCAGAAAUAAGUAAUCACUCUUCUUUGGGUUCUAAGAAUAAAGAAACCUGUUCUUAUUUGGCUGCAUGUAAAUAAGCAACAGAGAUUCUAGUAAGUCUUUCUUGUACAUAAUCUAAUUUAAAUCCUUUGCACCAAAUAUUAUUAUUUAUUGCAAAGAACAUAUAAUCCGACAUAUGUAUAUCUGACCAUGACCAUGCAAUGUUUGAUUGCAGGCUGUGGGGAUACAGAUAUGGAAGAACUUACAAAUAAUUUGAACGACCUGCCUCCCUUAUCCUCUGAGUGCUGUAUCUACAAGGUUCCAAAGCGACUACGUGGUGUAAAUAACGAGGCCUAUAUAUACACCUCAGGUGGUCUCAAUUGGCCCCCUUCACCAUGGUCGAGAAAGCCUAAAAGCCAUGGAAGAGCAUAAAAUGCGGUACAUGAAGGACUUUCUUGAACGAACAGGGGUAGAGCUGGAGGUUCUUUUCAAAGACAUGAUGGAACGGCAAGCACAAAUUCGUGCUUCUUACGCAGUAACCGUCAAAUUUGAUGAACAUGAGCUCGUAAAAAUAAUUAUGGUCGACGCCACCUUUACCUUUGAGGUCAUGCUCAGAGUUUCUUUGCCAUCACUACAAAGGGAAAACGACCGAAUAUUUGGAAAACCAAGGAUGCUAAGGGACAUUAUAUAUGAUAUCACUACUACGAUUUACUAUUUGCGCGACGAACAUUUUUUCGUCGCGCAAAAAGCACUAUUGCGACGGGAAAAAAAUUCCGUCGCGCCAACAAUAGAAAACAAGCGCGACAAAAAGAUUCGUCGCGCAAACAAUCUAUGCGCGACCUAAAUUAAUUUCGUCGCGCAAAGGUAGUGGAUAAAAACCCGGUUUUUUUUUUGCCGCCAAAAUCUUGCGCGACGACAAAAAUCGUCGCGCAUGACAAUAUUGCGCGACAAUUCUAAGCUUUCGUCGCGCAAAGAUGGAUAGAAAAUUUGCUCCUUUUUUUGGAGGUAAAAAUGUUUGCGCGACGAGAGUUUUCGUCUCAAAAGACAACUUAGCGCAACAAAAAAAUGUACCGUCGCGUAAGAAAACGAGGAAUACUUAUUUUUGGCGCCAAAAUGGAGGGUGGAUCAAUUUUGGUUUUGCGCGACGGAUAUAUCUUCGUCGCGUAAAGUUUAAUGCCCGUGCAUUCUUGCGCGACGGAAUUUAAACCUUGCGCGACGAAAAAUAUUAUUUGCGCGACGAAAGUUUGUGCGACGAAUGAUAUUAUUCGUCGCGCAAAAAAGCAGAUGUCGACACGUAAUUGCGCGACGGAAAUGUUGUUUUGUGCGACGGAAAAGUGGGUUUUCGUGACGGCAUUUUGCGCGACGAAUUCAGUUAUUCGUCGCGCAAAGUCCUUCUUCUUCAUAUUAGUAUCUGCCAUUGCAUAGGCAGAAUGCAAAAAUUGCAUUCUGCCUCUCUCUCACUCCCCCUGCCGCUGCUCUGCUGUGAAUUCAGUACGUUCAUUGGGUAUGUAUUUUUUGUCGUUAGUUUAAAUGUAUUGAUGUAAAUUCGUACUAACGCUAUUAAUUUUGUUCUCGUUAGGGAUAUUUGUGAUUAGUGAUUGGUGGAGAACGAUUGAGAAGGUAUGUUAUUGUAAAAGUUUGUUUGUUAUGUUUGUAAUUUUUGUGUGAAGUUAUAUGUGUAUAAUGUUGUGAAAUUGUGCGUGACGUAGCACAAUGUGUUGUGAUGUACGAAGUUAAUUGAAAUUCACUUCGUACUUUUAUUUUUAUGUUUAGUAACACGUAGUUUCCCAUUCGAGAUUAGUUGGAUUUCGUGCAUGGAUGCGUAAGGCAUGACUGCGGUCCAAUUAAUUCUUGAAUUGUCCCAUUAUUUGGACAGUUUGGUAAUGCAUAGUGUUGUCACAUAAUCUUCGGCUACAGGAUUAGGUUUCGAUUGUGGAGAUUUCGGUGUCAUCUCGAUACGUUCUUUGGGUGGUACGUAGGUAUUUAUACCUAUGCCCACUUCAAGAACUGUGUCGAGAUGCUGCCAAAAUUAAUCCACGUCGAAAUCUAAUCUCAUGUAGCCGUAGGUUACGUGACAGGACUAUGCAUUCCCGAAUGGGAUAGGGCCCUUACCAGAGGCAUAAGGUGACAUUAUAACUUCGUAUGAAGUUGUUGUGAUUGUUGUGUCGUGAUUGUGGUUUUAGGAAUUAUGAGCAGAAGGUGGAUACAGAACCCGAAUAGAUGCGCAAACGAAUACUUGGAUGGAAUCGAGGAUUUUAUUGAGUUUGCACGUAGACACAACCCGGGUGCAACUAGAAUCCGUUGUCCUUGUAGGAGGUGUAACAACACAUUGUGGGAGACAAUUGAAAAUGUUGGAUUUCAUUUAGUAAGGAAUGGAAUGAUUGAAACAUAUAGCAUUUGGAACCUUCACGGCGAACAAGUAGACCAUGCUUCGUCUUCAAAUGCCCCAAGAAUGGACAAUGUUGAACCUAUUGUGGAUCCUAAUGAUCAAGUCAUGGGUAUUAUACAGGAUGCUUUUCCAUUCGCAUCGACCAACAUCAAUCAGGAAGGGGAAGAUGACGUGCCUACACCAAUAGACAGUGCGGAGUUUGAACAGUAUGAAAAACUAUUAAAAAAUGCCAACCAAGAGUUAUACCCGGGGUGCGAGAGCUUUUCCGUUCUCACUGCCAUUGUGGAGCUAAUGCACGGAAAAAUAAAGUAUCGUAUGUCGAACUUGUGUUUCGAUUACUUUUUGGGGGUUUUCAAGAGAAUGCUUCCGACGGACAAUUGUUUGCCGAAAGACCAUAAACAUGCACAGAAGGUGUUGCAUGGUCUUGGAUUGGGUUAUGAAAAAAUCCACGCUUGCAAAAACAAUUGCAUGUUAUUCUACAAAGAGCAUGAAACGUUGGAUACAUGCCCUAUAUGCAAUGAGUCGAGGUUCAAAAUGACAUCCCAGAAUAGAACGACUAAGAUACCAUAAAAAGUCAUGCGUUAUCUGCCCCUUAAACAUAGGUUGCAGCGAUUGUAUAUGUUGACGCAUACUGCCACAGACAUGAGAUGGCAUAAGGAAAAACGCGUAGACGAUGAUGUGAUGCGGCAUCCUGCAGAUGGGGAGGCAUGGAAAAAGUUCGAUCGAACGUUCCCCGAGUUUGCUGCUGAUCCCCGAAAUGUUAGAUUGGGACUUGCCACUGACGAAUUCAAUCCGUAUGGGGUUCUAAACCAACACCACAGCACUUGGCCGAUUUUCGCAUUCCCAUAUAAUUUGCCGCCUUGGAAAUGCAUGAAAAAAGAAUACAUGAUGAUGACUGUUUUGAUAACUAAGGAUCCUGGCAGGUCAAUUGAUGUGUACUUAAGGCCUCUGGUUGAUGAGCUGAAGGAUUUAUGGACAAACGGUGUUCGCACGUACGAUAAAUCAACUGGGAGGAUGUUCACUUUGCGAGCAGCAGUUAUGUGGACUGUGAAUGAUUUUCCAGCAUAUGCAAUGAUUUCUGGGUGGAGCACAAAGGGUUAUAUGGCAUGUCCUGUAUGCAAGGAAGAUGUAACUUCUGGUUGGCACGCGGGAAAAGUUUGUUACCUUGGUCAUCGGAGAUGGUUGCCAUGGGACCACGAGUGGCGAGAAAAAGAUAAAGAGUUCGACGGGAACACAGAGCGUCGCCUCAGACCUAGAGAAUGGUCCGGUGAUGAGAUCUUGGAACAGCUGAACCGUUUGGAUUUUGCUCCGUUCGGGAAAACAGUUAGUCGGACCAGACCUUCUACACAUUUGAACUGGACGCACAAGCCUAUGUUUUUUGAGCUCCCAUAUUGGUCGAAACUGAAAUUGAGGCACAAUCUAGAUGUAAUGCAUGUUGAGAAAAAUGUAUUCGACACAUUGGUGGGCACGAUUCUAGAUAUCGAGGGGAAGACGAAGGACACGAUCAAAGCUCGUCUUGAUUUGGAAAGAAUGGGCAUACGAAGGGGUUUAUGGAUGAAUAGGGACAGUGAUAAAGCUAGAAGGGAUCUUGCAUUCUUUCUAUGAAACCGAAUGACAAAAAAGAGUUUCUAAAGUUUGUAUCGUCUGUCAAAUUUCCCGAUGGGUAUGCUUCUAAUAUCGCACGUUGCGUGAAUGUCGAUGGGGGUAAAUUUACUGGACUUAAGAGCCAUGACUGCCAUAUGUUUAUGCAACGCCUACUUCCUGUGGGUAUUCGACACCUACUACCGGAAGAUGUGGUGAAGCCAAUCAUGUUGUUAUCCAGAUUUUUUUCCCAACUGACGGCAAAAACAUUGCGAAGGACAGACAUGUUUCAGUUGCGCCAUGACAUUGUCCAAGUCCUAUGCAAGUUUGAGAUGAUAUUUCUUCCAGCUUUCUUUACAAGUAUGAUGCACGUGAUGGUUCACUUGCCAGAAGAGGCAUUGCUUGCUGGUCCUGUCAACUAUCGCUGGAUGUAUCCAAUAGAAAGGUAUAUAAUCUUUAUCAUUUGUGUAUGCAUCAUUAUCGACAGUUUGCUAAUUUGUAUCAUAUCGUUUUAUUUUGGCAGGCUUCUCGGAGAGCUGAAAAAAAGUGUACGCAACAGGGCAAAGCCCGAAGGAUCAAUUAUAGAGGCUUGGGUUCAAUAUGAGUCGCUUACUUUCUGUGGAAUGUAUUUAAAAGAUGUGGAGACGGUUUUCAAUCGUCCUCAACGCAAUAAUGACGGAGGUAUGAGAAAUGAAAAACUUUCUGUUUUUGCCCAAAGCGCACGACCAUUUGGAGAUCCUGGACGAGGAGAGUCGUUUUCUAGAAAUGACAUGGAGGUAGCGUAUUGGUUCGUACUGAACAAUUGUGAUGAGAUAAUGGCCUACUUAGAUGAGCAUGAACAGAUGAUGAAGCGAGACAUCCAUCACAUUUGGUUGCCCGGAAACACCGUGAAUUAUUUCCACAAUGGUUUUUGGAUUCUGUAAGUUAUAAGUGUUUUGUAAUUGACAAAUAUAAAUUGUAGUAUUUAAUUUUGUCAGACCAACAUGUAAAUGGUUUUGUAUACUAUUAGGUGAAUAAAUUGAAAUCAUCGAAUUCCCCCACUUACAGUGAUGAGUUAUAUAACUUGGCGUUCAGCCCAAUUCGCGCUGAAUUGUUCUCGGGUUGUAAUGUUAACGGCGUCAAAUUUUUGGGGGCCGCACGAGAUGACAAGUUGUGUACGCAAAACAGCGGUGUCCAUGUCCCAGGUGGAGGCGAAAGUACGGACAUUGAUUUCUAUGGCAAACUGACAACUGUCGUGCAAUUGCUUUACAAAGAUCGAUACCAAGUCAUCAUGUUUAAGUGUCGAUGGUUCGAUACCAACCCAAGUAGGGCGGGAAGUGUUAAAAUCGACCAUGGAGUACUGUCUGUGAACAUUAACAGAACUUGGUAUGAUGACGACCCGUACAUUUGGCAAACAUGGCGUCUCAAAUUGUGUAUCUAGAUGACCCUAAAGCCGGGAACAGGUGGAAAGUUGUGCAGAAGAUGGAUCAUAGGAACGUGUAUGAUAUACCAGAACUAGACCCAAGUGACAACGACGUCGACAAUGUGGCUGACCAACGUUUAGAAUCUUCAAUGGAAAAUGAUGCGGAAACACUUCGAGAUACAAAUGUUAUACAAGAACCGUUUCAAAUAGAAGGAGUGUCUUCAGUCGAAAUACCGAUUCAGUCAAUUACAAUUGACCUCGGUGAUCUUCCCUGAUAUGAUGUUGCAGUGGGCCCUAGCAACGCCGAUGAUGCAGUUAUAGAGGAGGAGGAGGAAGAAGAUUGGGAGACCGAGAGUGAUGAUAGCUACGAUAACGAAAGUUAUUAUAGUUCAGAUGAUGAACGAUGAAUUUAUUUGUAAAUUUAUUAUGUUAGUGUAUUCAUUUUGUGUAAUACAAAUCUUUGAAUAUAUGUAGUUGUCCAUAUGUAGUUGUGUAUUCAUUCUCCAUAUUUCAUCACAAACUUCAUUGGAAUGUCAAUACUUUAGUCAAUACUUUAGUCAGUACUUAUUACGACCCCAUGCUUGUUGAUUGGUUUUUAUUUAUCUAUUUAUUCAUGUCUUUAACUCUUCAAUUAUUAUUUUUUUUCUUUUGAGAUAUAGUUAUUUCUUCAUGUUUAAACAAAAAAAUAGAAGUUAUUUCUCCAAUAUUAUCUGUGUGCCACUUAUUUUUCUUCACUUUGGUUCAUGAUUAGUGGCAUCAAUCUAGUCAAACCGAUAAAAUCGGUCGAUUCAAAUCUUAAUUAUCAAUUUAGUUUGGUUUUGAUGAAGAAAUACAAAGCCUUUCCAAAAAAUACAAAGCAUAAAAAAUGAUGAAUACAAAACCUUUCCAAAAAAUACAAAGCAUACACAAUUUGAAUUAAAUGAGGAUUUAUGGCGCCAAAUCCUUGCGCGACGAAGGGCUCCUUAUCAUCGCGCGUAAAGUUUGCGCGACGAAUACACCUCGUCGCGCAUAGUUUCCGCGACGCAUAUAUAUGCGUCGCAUAUGGUAUUUUUGCGCUACGAUAAGGAGCCCUUCGUCGCGCAAAAGGCACAGACCCUUCAGUUUCAGUGUCCCGCUAAACCCAAAAUUUUCCCAAUAUUUUGGCGGAACGACAGCGUUUUGCGCGACGAACAUAUUACUUUCCGUCGCGCAAGGUUCUCCUUGCGCGACGUUUACUGUCUUCGUCGCGCAAAAGCACAAACCCUUCAGUUUCAGCCUCCCGCUAAACCCUAAGUCCCAAAAUUUUGGCGGAACGACAUCGUUUUGCGCGACGAAUAUAAGAUUUUCCGUCGCGCAAAGUUCUCCUUGCGCGACGUUCACUCUCUUCGUCGCGCAAAAUCACAAACCCUUCAGUUUCAGCCUCCCGCUAAACCCUAAAUCCCAAAAUUUUGGCGGAACGACAGCGUUUUGAGCGACGAAUGAUGAUAAUUCGUCGCGCAAAAGACACAGACCCUAAUCCCCAUUCAAAAUUUGGCGUUGUGGGAGACCUUGCGCGACGGAAUUUUCGUCGCGCAAAAUUCAUUAAUACCAUUUUGCGCAACGCAGUCUGUUCUUCGUCGCGCAAAGUCGAAUAAAUUUGCAGAAACGACCCGAUGCCUCCUUCUUCCCCAGAUUCUGGUUUUUCCUCCGUUCUCCCUCUCUCUCCGCCGUCACCUCAGCCCUCUCUCUCCGCCGUCACCUCAGCCACCUCCGCUCGUUCCGUAGCCUCCCCUGCUGUCGCCGUCAAGCCUGCCGUCGCACAUAGUUGGUUUUUCCCGAUUCUUCGCCGGCCGAUUUCUCUCUCCUCCGGCCACCAUUUCCGACGCCUGAGGUAUGAUUUCUCGACUAUUUUUUGUGCUCUAGCUGAUGGUUGGUUAGGAUUUCUUGAAAUUUCGCUAUAGGAAAUAGGAAUUAAAACCCUAGGUUUUGGCCGGUUUGGGAAUUUCAAAUCCCGCCACUUCCGGCCAUUUUUCGGGGUAGGUCCGAGAACAAAAGUGGCUCCAAUUAAUGUUUUCAACCUAGGGUAGGAACCUUGGCCCUUAGUUUUUAGAAUUUUCAGGCGAAUGUUAUCGCUUUGGACACCCACGCGCUGCCGGCGCGUGUGGUGGCGCGUGGGAUGCUGUGGCAGUGGGGCAUUGUGUCCCAGAGCAAUCCCCUGUUUGUCACGAGCGCGUAGGUUUGCUCGGAUUUGAAUUUGGAUACCGUUUGAGUCUUGAUCGGAUUUCGCCUAUUGUGCGAUUUCCAGGUUUGAUAUGUUCGGACCGUUGGAUCGAACUCAAACUCACGUAGUUGUACCUUUGUGUUUCUAGGAUCGUUUAGGAUUCGACCGAUUGUUGAUCGGAGUCCCGGAUACUCCGAAAUUCCAAACCCUAGGUCAUGCUAUGCUUUUAAAUAAUUAGUUUAAAUUCUUAAUGAAAUUAUAUGUGCAGAUGUCAGACUUGAUUAGACGUGGUAGGUCGAUGACGACUGCACCGAGUUCGGAUCCCCCGGCUCAGUCGGCAUCUGCUGCCACUGCUCCAGCUUUCAUGGAGCACGUGCUGGUUGGUCCCGGGGCAUCCCAGGCGCCAGCGUCAUCUGCGUCAUCCGUCGCGCAGCCAGCUAGUGCUAGGCGGCGGCACCGGCCCGCCGACACCACCGAGACGACAUCGACCGACGGUACUGGUGCCUCGGGAUCACAGCCAGGUAUAACUACCAUUUUGUAUUGUUAAUUUUAUAUUGAAAUUUGACAAUGUUGUUUAUUUAACAUUAAUAUCUUAUUUCUUUGCAGCGAAGAAGAACACCCGAGGGCCGUGUCGUCAGCUGAAGAUGGCGAAAGUCACCCGGGUGACCAACAGUCGUAUCAGCAUCGGAUACGGCGAGCGCCAUCGGGCUGCACCCACGGCGGAGUUGCAUAGCUCCUUGGCCCACGACAUUGGCCACGUCGUGCGGACCCAUUGCCCGAUGUAAUGGAAGUCUUGGAGGGUCAUUCCUGACGAGAUAAAAGUAGAGGUUCGCGGCCAGUUGUCGGUAUGUACCUUACAUUUUCAUUAUAUUUCUUUAAAAUUGUGUAUAUUUCUAUUACUUAACGUAUCUAAUUAAUUGAUUGUAGACGAACUAUAACUUGGAGGAUCUCGACGAAGAGUCGUUGGCGUACGUCAACAGACUCUUCGCUGAGAGGUACAAGCAGUGGAAGAGCGACUUGCACCAUCAUUUUCAGGCCUUUGAUGAUCCGCAAGUCGCUCUUCAGGAGGGUUGCCCGAAGGAGCUUGAGGGGCGGGAGGAUAGUUGGGAGUGGCUCUGCGCUCAUUUUCAAGCGCCCGAAUAUAUGGUAUUUUUUUAAUAAUAUUUGUUUAAUUAUUACUUAUUUCUUAUUAAUGUUUAUUUCAUUAUUAUUUAAUUUGUUAUAUUUUAACUAAUACGUUUCAUUUUUUGUAUAACAGAAUAAAGCCCAAGUGAAUAAGGGUAAUAGGAAGAAGAAGACCCUUCUCCACCAUUCCGGCUCCAGGCCCUUUUCGUAUAGGAUGGAUGCACGGCGACGGGUAAUAAUCACAUAAUUUAUAUUUCAUUUUUAAUGUCAUUUUUAUUAAUUUAUUUUUUUCAUACUAAUAUUUUUCUUCUCUUGUUCAAUUUAGGAGGGGUCCAAGUUCCCAGAGAUCGACGUCUUUGGUGACGUUUAUGUUCGACCCGGGAAUGAGUUGGCCGAGUCCCUUCAUGUAAGUAUUAUUUAAUUUUAAUUCUUAUGUUACGCAUUCAAUUUAUAUGCAUGUUUUAAUUUAUAUUUUAUGUUAUGUUCAACAGACGACGAUGGUGGAGAGGAGCCAGUUGGUUCUUCAGGAGUCCACCUCCCAGCUUCCUCCCGAGACUCCGAUCGAGUCUGUGGCUCCUCCACAGGAUGCUGGAUUUCAGAUCUUGACGGAGACGUUGGAUCAGACUCUCGGGAGGAGGCCGGGGACAUAUUGUCGAGGGAUGGGGAAUGCCCGGCGGAGGGAACCUAGACCUCGUUCAUCGGCGCAGUCAAACAGUCAGGUGACUGCUUUGACAGCACAGGUGGCCGAGCUUCAGGGUCAGAUGUUGGUGAUUCUACAGUCCCUCGCACAGGGCGGCUUUCCGAUCCCGCAGUUUCGUGCGUCGACCUCCCAGCCCGUCCACCCCGAGCAUGCCCACUAGACCACUGCCCCGGUGGACGCCCAGACCUCCGAGCCGCAUACUGGCGACGACCCGGUUGAUUUUGCUUCAUUAUUUGAUUAGUGUAUUUAUUUUCAUCAUAAACAUUUAUUUUAUUUGUAAUACAUUUAUUUUAUUUUAUAACAAAAUUUUAUUCUAAUUUAUUUUUAUUGCAAUUUCAUUGUUUAAUCAAUAAAAAAAAACCAAUUUUAUUUAAAAUAAAAAAUAAAAAAAUAAAAAAAUAAUAAAAAAUUGUAAUAUUAUUUUUGCGCGACGGAAAAUAUUUCGUCGCGCAAACCCACAUGUAACAAAUAAAAAAUAAAAAAUCAACUUUUUUAUUACUUUUAAUUCUUGCGCGACGAAUACAUACGUCUCGCAAACACGUUUGGCGCGACGAAAUGUUUCUUCGCGCAUCUUCUUCUGCGCGACGACAGAGAUUUUCGUCGCGCAAAUAUAUGAGCGACGAAAACUUUCUCAUCGCGCGAAUGGUUUUGCGACAAACAUAUACGUCUCCCGAACAAGUUUUGCGCGACGAAUUAUGUUUCGUCGCGCUAUUCCUGUCGUCGCGGAAAUAUAUGUGCACCGAAUAGUUUAUCGUCGCGCAAAUAUUUAUGCGACGAACAGUUGUUUCGUCUUCAUACCGUUGGUGCAACGAUGGUUUACCCGUCGCACAGUUUUGCGCGACGAAGGGUUGUACCUCGUCGCGCAAAGGCUUUCUUCACGAUCUUCGCGCGACGGAAUAUGCGCGACGAAUUUUUUGUCGCGCUGAAAUUAGUGCGACUAAAUGAGACUUUGCGCGACGUUUUGUUAUUCGUCGCGCAAAGAGUAAAAUGUAGUAGUGUAUGUUGUUGCUUGAAAAUCAGGUGCCAUUCUUUAUCCUCGAGUAUAAUUGAUCUCGAAAGUGGGCUUUCCAUCAUUAGCCUAACCCAUAAGUUAUUCCGCAAUAGGGUUUACAAAAGGCCAUUUCAUGAAAUUUGUCAGAAAUUCUCUCGCCCUUCGACUAAAAUACACCAUUUUGUUGACUUUCUGCUACAAUGUCAUCGACCUUUACCUUCUGAUCUUCCAACCAAAAAAAAAAACUCAAAACUUUAAACGUACCAAAUGCAACAGAAUUACACCAGGCGGGAGUCAAGUUUGAGAAGGCUAAAAAAAAUACAAAAUUAUUUGACAUACAAUUUGAGAAUGGAAUCCUUAAAAUUCCACGCCUGCGAAUACGGGGUUCAACAGAAAUUUUCUUUCGUAAUCUUAUUGCCUAUGAGCAGUGUGAGCACUGUGAUAAUUACAUCAACAACUAUGUCUUCUUCAUAGACCGCCUGGUCGAUAGUGCCAAGGAUGUGGAAUUGCUUGCGAAGAGUAGAGUUCUUGAAUCUAAGCUACCGGACAGCAAGGCAACAGCGGAUUUUAUUAAUAAUCUUGACUUGGGGCCUAUUUUGUUCAGCAGAAAAUUCUAUUUCACCGAUCUUUGUGACAAGCUGAAUGAACACUACGGAGAGCCCUGGCACGAGUGGAAGGCAAGUUUGGAACAAGACUAUUUCAAAUCCCCAUGGGCUAGCCUGUCUAUUAUUGUAGCCGCUAUACUAGCUGUGCUCACAUUUAUUCAAACAGUGUGCUCCGUAAUGGAGCUGUAGGUUCUUUAUUUCCUCAAUUUCAUGUUUACUGGUUGCAGAUCUUGUUGCUCGUGUACGUGUUUAUCUAAAGUUAAAUAAGAGUGAUUGACUGGUAGUCUGUUGGUUUGUUUUUCUGGGGUUUUUCCCCCCCUGUUCGUCAAAAAAAGAAAAAGAAAAAAAGAGUGAUGUUGCUUGUGCCUAUGAAAAUUACUUUGAAGUAUGCUCCACAAAGCACUGCAACUGCAAGCAAGCCCUUCCUUACUCAUGGCCAGACAAGGACAAAAAUAAUUCUUUAAUGUGAGGGAAGUGGAGGUUCUUCUGCUUGAUAGUGAGUAUGAGAAGAACAACAGCUGCAACGACAGAUAUAGUUGCCCAAGGUCUGUUCAAAUAUAAAAUCGCCUUCCAUUUGUUCUGCCAUUUUACCAGGAAGCACUUGGAUUUCUUACAAAGAUUUUAACAUUUUUAUAAUAAAAGCGCUUAUGAGCAGCCCCACUUUAACUGGUUCGAAUAAUAAUAAAAGCAGAAAAGCAGUGUUUUAUUUUUCCUCUUUACUUUUUCUUUCAGAGCCUGCAAAAGAAAUGUUAGUGUUGAUCAGUUCUUCACCAUCAAGCUUGGCUUAGUGAAAUAAAGCACUUCAUUGAUUUCCACUUAAAUUAACCGGGUUCUUUUUCUGUUUUUUUAUUUUUUGCUAUGGAGUGUAAAAAUUAGAAGCUCCCAUCCCAGAGCUAUAAUUUUUGUACAUUCAUUAUCAAACAUUUCAAAUUAUUUGUGAUUUUUUUUAAAAUAAUAAUUAAUAAAGGAAGGACACCAACCAAACAUAUGACACCAACCAAAUAAUUUUUGUAAUCCAGUCGUAGUGUGUGAUCAUCAUCCUACAUAUGACAGUCAUAGUCAAUCUAAAUCCAGGAAUUAGUUUCAAUGUGAUUAUUUUUUUGUUUAUUUGUCAAUACGUUCACAUUGCAUUCUCAUUUGGAAUUUUAGACAGAGAGGGACAUAUGAGUGUAAUGGACCAACUAGAAUCCGAAACAACAUGUAAUUGCAAACCUUUGCAAUCCACGACUAACUUGAAGUCCCUUAUGCUACGGCGUCAAGAAGCUAUUGAACCUUUGCUGCUAAAAAAACAUAAAAAUAUGGGUCCAGCUCAUCUUAAAUUUGUGGUCACAAAUAAAUAAUAUUACCAUGUCUGUGGAAAUUUGUCACAAGACUCAUCCUAAAAUUGGUCAAAUGCACCACUGUUAAGGUCAUGAAGUUAUGUUAUGCCUUCACAAAGAUUACAUGGUUCAAAAUAAGUGCGAAUCUCAUUCAUGAAUUAUGAAUUAUAAAGGAUUUGGUGUGCAUGUAAAUGGUAGUACUUUAAAGACAAUAUAUUUUAAAUUUUGUGUUUUUGCACUUUUGAUUUCAAUUGGUUAAAUGAGGUUUUAUUUUUUGAAAGUCACAUUGGUUGAAUGAGGUAUUGGAGUAAAUUAAGUAAUACAAACAAGUAAUUAAUUCCUUUCAUCAAUCAUUUUCACCUUAUCUCGUCCAUUUCUUUUGCUAUGCUAAAAGAAAAGGCUUUUGUAAUCUUGAAGAAAAAAAGUUAAUGGUAGUUGUCCGGCAAAUUUCUCACGAAGAUCUUAGGUUGCAAUAUGAGAGUUCAAUUUUCCUGUGACCAAACUCUCUAUGCCCAUCUUGUGACCUUCUUAUUCUUUUGACAUGUGUCCCUUCACUCAACCAAAAUUUAACUAUGUUAAGUCUCUAAUUUAUAUCAAAAUAAUAAUUAAUAUAAUUAUAUUAAAGGUUUGUUUUUUAAGAACUAGCUGAGUUUUCAGAUUUUUUUUUUGAACGAAAUUGAGUUUUCAUAUGAGAGCGCAGGAAAGAUGAAGGGACAAGGAAAACAAUUUUCUAGUGUAAGGUGGUUAAAAGGCUAACGGGGUUUUGUACGUCAAAGCAUGGCGGCUUUAUUGCUGGCCCUCGACAACUCGAGUAGAAGCUCGGCUGGUCCACAAAUUGCAGUUUCGGCAAAUUUCCCCACGAGAAUAUUCGCCCAAUAUUCCUUCGUCUUCUCCGCCUCUCUUUCUCCCUGCAAAACAGAUCGGAGUAAAAGGACCACACCCGGGGGUGUUGGCCAAAGGCCCUCCAAUGCCUAAGUUAGGUAGGGUAAUUCAAGGAAAACCGGGUGGCCGGAGCCGUGUGUGGUGGCCGGAGCCUUGUGUGAGAGAGAGAAAGAGAGGGGGUGGCUAGGGUUUUUGAGAAAUAACUUCUGUAGAGUUUAGUAGGAAUUUAGGCGUACCUCAACCCUUGUGUGUGGCUAUGCUUUUAUAGAGGUCUCAGAGGCUAGGGUUUCAGAGGAAUAAUUCCGUAGAUGGAAGGGAAUUAUUCCUCCCCUUUUUGGAAUUGAUUUGAUUAAUUAGGGAUUUGAUUAAUUAGGGUAAAUCAAAUCCCUAAUUGUGGUAGGUAUCAAAUCAAUCCUGAUUCAAUUUAGGCAACUCCUCAUUUAAUUGGGGAUCGUGGUAAUUAACCAAAUCAAAUCUCAACCUAAUUAGGUAACGUUCAAUUUAAUUGGAUAAUUUCCAAUUAAAUUGAGUAACUCCUAAUUAGGUUAAUUGAUUCCCAAUUUGGUCAAAUAAUCCCCAAAUGGUAGGAAUUAUUUGACCUAGAGUUUGAUUUAAUUAGGUUCCCACACCUUACUCGUAUGGUUUAGUCUCUACAGGAAAUGAAAUGAAGAAAAGCCACUGAGCAGCCACCUGAAAUUGGUAAAUAAUGUCAGGAAAAACAAAUUAAGUACACGAUUUAAGGCGUGCUCUCUUACCUAAAUAAUGUCAGGAGAUAAUCUAGAAAGCAAAGCAUUUUAGAUAUAUAUAUAAACUUGCAACCUACACAGUUACACGUGAUUUGAAAUUGGCAAAAGGUAGUUGGACACAGUACCAUUUGUUUUUGCAACUGCUGCAGCAUAAACACAAAAUGGCAUCAACUUCUGCAACAUUGUUUUCUUAAUUGAAGACCUGGAUAUUGGGCUUCUGAACUUCGGCAGGCUACCGCGAACUUGAAUUGAAGGGAAGAAAACUCUCUACUGUAGUUUGAAUGAUAGCUGAAACAGCUUAUGUAUACUAUAUUUGGCUAUGGAGAAGCGCUAGAUGAUUCACCAAAAUUUUCAAGUCUGAGGAUGAUCAGACUCAACUACUCACAUGAAGAUCCUUCCUUACAGCAAUUUCAAAGAAAAAGAUGAAACAACAAAGCAUGUUUUAACGCUUAAGUGGCGACUUCCUGUUCAAUAUUUUAUUUCAUAUGUAUCUGUGUUUUUUGUAGGCUGGUACAGCUUUUGUUCUGUUCUGUUCGGUAUAUAAUUUCAUUUCAAACAUUGGGAAAGAAACCAUAAAGAACAUGGGAAUGGUAUGUUGCAAAGUAACGAUUAUACUGUUAGGUGCCUGGAUAGAUUCUCAUGCCAAGCCGUGGCAUGAUCGUUGGGGAAAACGUGAACAAUAGGCUAAGAGAUCUGUGAGUCACAAAUUUAUGAUAAAAGAGAGAAGCACCAGUCUACACCUAAUCUGAGGACUUAACACAAUGAAGUUAAUAACUAUAAGAAAUUCCUAUCGGAUUCAAGAUGAUUAACCAAUCAUGCUCAAAACUUAUCAACUAACUUUUACUUGAUAUUUUAGCCCCGCAUCUUUUAUAUGAGACACCAAAGGGCUCCAGCAAAGGAGAGCGACAACUCUAAAUCCGUUUUCCAAUAGUAUUGGUGGGCCCCAGCUAUUUAUUGGCCACGACGCUGGUUGCAUGCGACAUGUGGCCAAUACUCUUUCCCACAGGUUUUUCAGUGGUUCACAUUAGCAUAAGCCACUACCGUGGCUUAUAUGGAGGAUUUCUAGUAGUGCCUAUUAAUCAAAAAAAAUUCUAUCCUAAUUUUUUUUUUUUUUUUUUUUUUGUUUAACAUAUGUAAAGUAUGUAGAUUUGCUACAUAUAUUUUUUCAUAUGGAUUGUUCGUAACAAAAAUUUAGGCAAAUUUCGUUUUAAUGGUACUUUGUGUAGAGCAAGAAAUGUUAUUAAAUACUAACCAAACAAAAUGGUGGCAUUGUUCAGAUGGUAAGAAAUGGAGACUUUGGUUGGCUAUCGCAGUUCCUUUGGCUUCUGUCUUGGUUCUUAUCGCAAUAUCCUCACCCUGCUAUCUGCAUUGCAGAAAGGGACGCAGAGGUUUUGAGUUUUUAGGUUGCAUUGCUAGAUGUAAUUGUUGUCGUUAAAUUUAUAUGUUUUUUUUUAUAAAAAAAGUGGUUGACAUUAAAAUUGGGGAGUGUUUUUCAACUCUCUGUCAAAAUGUCGAUUUUCCGUACUAAAAGAAAAUGGUUUAUAACUUAAGUGGGUAAGAUGAUUUAUUAGAACAUAUAUAUUAGAGACUAAAAGAACGUCCAAAAGUUAUGUUGGAGAAAUUAGUAUAAUGUAAGUUUAAUAUUAGAUGAUUUAAUAUUACUCCCAAGGUACUGAUUCUAUUCUAGCGUUCUUCCUCCAUUUUCGUCUGUUUUUUCAUGCUUUAGUUCCUUUAGCUUGUGUUCGAUUCCCACCUCAUGCGUUGUGACUCUGGUGUUUUCCUUGAGUGGGUACAUGGGAGACUUUAAAUUAUUCUAUUUCAAGUGGUAUUAGGGAGGAAGGGAAUCAAACAAGACAUCGGAUGCAAAGAUAGAUCGAUGCUAUAUGCUCCUAAAAAUUUCAAACCAAUAAUGUAUUAGAAUUUACCAACAGUGUUAAAGUAGGGUUUCAUGGCAUCUUGAGGAGACCAUUCCAUUCCAUUAUGAAAGAAUUGCUGCUGAUAUAUAUAUAGGAGAAAGUAUUAGAAAUUAGAAAGUCAGUUCGAGAUUGUUAAAGUAGUAUUAGAUUUUAUCAUUGAGCUUUUCUUUUCCACAACAAAAAGAAGAAGAAAAAAGACAUUGAGCUUUUCUAGUAAUCGACUUGCUCUUUUGUGCAUAGCAGGUGCGAAUUCCCUUCCUUUUUUUUUGUUUUUUAUUUAUUGUUUUUUCAAUUGAUAGCAUUUUCUUGAAGAUUUUAGUUUCUUAUGUUUCAAUGGUAGUUGGACAUUUGAAAUGAGCAAAGGUCAUGUUAAAAUGUUGUAACUUUAUUCUUUUCUUUAUAUGGAAUUUCGUUUGUUCCUGUAUGUUUUGACUGGAAGCAUGAGAUCUAAAAGAGAGGAUAUAAAUUCGUUUGUUUCUGUUGUCAACUUAGGUCUACAUAUAAUAUGCAUAUAUAUUCUCAGAUUUUUUUCCCUGAAAAAUAAAAUCAACAAACUUUUUCGAAAUUUGUACAUUUUGAUUGGAAGAAAAUGAAUUUUUGUUCUUCAUCACUUGAAGUACAAGUCCCUUGCAAUAAGAUGUUCUCCAUUCCCCCAAACCCCCGAAGAAGAAAAAAGAAGAAGAAGUUGCUUUGGUUUAAUUUGCCCCCCACCCUCCUCAAAAAAAGGAACAAGUUGCUUUAGAAGCGAGGUCAACUCAUAGCUUCCUUGCUUUUACUUAGUUUUAUAUGUCAAUGUGCGGCUUUGGCCAUUUUGAGUUAGAAAUCCAUUACGUCCUAAACAAAAUAUAAUCCAUUACAUUUCCCCUAAUAACAACACAAUCAUGUGCAAGAGCAAGUUGCUUUGUUUCUCAAAAGAAAAGCUAGAACAAGUCGGUUUUAGAAGCUUGGAAGAAAAUAGGCUUAUUACGGAUUAUUUUUACACUAAUUUCUUUUACAUACUGUUUACAUAUUCUUGUAAUAACUCCCUUUUAGAUAGAGUAAUUUGAACUCUUUAUAGCCAGCUUGAACUCAUUAACUGGGAAAAGUUGAGCUAUGAAGAGGCUUUGCAAUGGGCCAAGCUAGCUAGCAGGUAUCUGCAUCUGCUAGUGAAAAAGGAAAUUAAUAAUAAAACAAACACUUGGAGUAAUUGCUCCCCCAGGUAAGGUCCUAAGUUCGAAUCCUAGUAUCCGUGUUGUGCGUGAAUUUAGUAUAUUGUCGCCCUCUCAAUAGGAAAAGGCAAGGGCCAGCUAUAUACUCUUUCCUUGGUAUUGAGUUUACAAAUUACUAAUGCCAAGUAACGUUGAUGGUAAGUUAGAAACUAUAUCACACCUUUCAAAGAUACUGAAUAAAAGUGGUAAAAGGAAGAAACAAGAAUUUGAGUUUUAUUGAAGUAAGAGUUACAACUAACUCUUAUUGGCUGAAUAAAACUCAGCUGGAAUAGAUAAUGUCUUGUUUGGUCGGGUCCACAAACAAGCAAUCACUCUUCUUUGGGUUCUAAGAAUAAAGAAACCUGUUCUUAUUUGGCUGCAUGUAAAUGAGCAACAGAGAUUCUGAUAAGUCUUUCUUGUACAUAAUCUAAUUUAAAUCCUUUGCACCAAAUAUUAUUAUUUAUUACAAAGAACAUAUAAUCCGACAUAUAUAUAUAUAUAUAUAUAUAUAUAUCUGACCAUGACCAUGCAAUGUUUGAUUGCAGGCUGUGGGGAUACAGAUAUGGAAGAACUUACAAAUAAUUUGAACGACCUGCCUCCCUUAUCCUCUGAGUGCUGUAUCUACAAGGUUCCAAAGCGACUACGUGGUGUAAAUAACAAGGCCUAUACACCUCAGGUGGUCUCAAUUGGCCCCCUUCACCAUGGUCGAGAAAGCCUAAAAGCCAUGGAAGAGCAUAAAAUGCGGUACAUGAAGGACUUUCUUGAACGAACAGGGGUAGAGCUGGAGGUUCUUUUCAAAGACAUGAUGGAACGGCAAGCACAAAUUCGUGCUUCUUACGCAGUAACCGUCAAAUUUGAUGAACAUGAGCUCGUAAAAAUAAUUAUGGUCGACGCCACCUUUACCUUUGAGGUCAUGCUCAGAGUUUCUUUGCCAUCACUACAAAGGGAAAACGACCGAAUAUUUGGAAAACCAGGGAUGCUAAGGGACAUUAUAUAUGAUAUGUUGUUGCUUGAAAAUCAGGUGCCAUUCUUUAUCCUCGAGUAUCUCUACUUCUUAGCCCAUUCCAAAAAUAUAUUUGAUCUCGAAAGUGGGCUUUCCAUCAUUAGCCUAACCCAUAAGUUAUUCCGCAAUAGGGUUUACAAAAGGCCAUUUCAUGAAAUUUGUCACAAAUUCUCUCGCCCUUCGACUAAAAUACACCAUUUUGUUGACUUUUUGCUACAAUGUCAUCGACCUUUACCUUCUGAUCUUCCAACCAAAAAAAAAUUCAAAACUUUAAACAUACCAAAUGCAACAGAAUUACACCAGGCGGGAGUCAAGUUUGAGAAGGCUAAAAAAAAAAAAUACAAAAUUAUUUGACAUACAAUUUGAGAAUGGAAUCCUUAAAAUUCCACGCCUGCGAAUACGGGGUUCAACAGAAAUUUUCUUUCGUAAUCUUAUUGCCUAUGAGCAGUGUGAGCACUGUGAUCAUUACAUCAACGACUAUGUCUUCUUCAUGGACCGCCUGGUAGAUAGUGCCAAGGAUGUGGAAUUGCUUGCGAAGAGUAGAGUUCUUGAAUCUAAGCUACCGGACAGCAAGGCAACAGCGGAUUUUAUUAAUAAUCUUGACUUGGGGCCUAUUUUGUUCAGCAGAAAAUUCUAUUUCACCGAUCUUUGUGACAAGCUGAAUGAACACUACGGAGAGCCCUGGCACGAGUGGAAGGCAAGUUUGAAACAAGACUAUUUCAAAUCCCCAUGGGCUAGCCUGUCUAUUAUUGUAGCCGCUAUACUAGUUGUGCUCACAUUUAUUCAAACAGUAUGCUCCGUAAUGGAGCUGUAGGUUCUUUAUUUCCUCAAUUUCAUGUUUACAGGUUGCAGAUCUUGUUGCUCGUGUACGUGUUUAUCUAAAGUUAAAUAAGAGUGAUUGACUGGUAGUCUGUUGGUUUGUUUUUCUGGGGUUUUUCCCCCCUGUUUGACGCAGCACAAGCAACAAAGGUUUCAAGCGAAAUCUUGAGUAACAAGAAAUCUGGAUUCCACCAGAAAUUAAGAGGAAUUCUCUUGGGAUAAUUGUAUUAAAAUCCGAGGUGAUCAGAAACGUCAGACAAACCUGUCUAAAUACGCAACUCUCAACCCUUGAACUACUAGGGGAGUUAUUACAUUAAAACUGAAAAACAGAAUUUAUUCGGAGAAUUAACUACGAAACUUUGAAUGCCGUUUUAGAAGGCUAAACGACCUUAGAAUGCCAAAAUCCAUCGUACCUCACAGCAAAGCUAUGAGUUUGACUCGUGGAGUCGUUCCCUUUCCGAAAUGGUAUUUUGCGUCCUAAUCGGAGCUCGGACAACAAAUCUACAAAUUCCCGCUACGUCCUUUUUCUAGCUCGACCGCGAUAAAAUCUACCAUCUGUUCUACAUCAGUCCCCUCCACCUCCGAAGAACUUGACCCCGAGUUAUAAUAUGGAUAAAGGACCUCAUCUUCAAGGAACUCAUAUAAAUCUGCAACAUUAAAAAUAUUGGAAAUUCCCAUGGAAUCCGGUAACUCAAUAACAUAGGCAUUAUCAUUGAUCCGUUUGAGCACUUUGUAAGGACCAUAUUUUUUUGGUUUAAGCUUGCUAUAUGUGCCAACUGGAAACCUCUCCUUCCUCAGAAAUAUCAUCACAGAAUCGCCUUCUUGAAACACUUUAACUCGCCGAUGCCUAUCUGCAGCAGCUUUGUACUUAGCAUUAGUUUGCUCAAGUUUCUGCUUGACUUCAUCUCGAACGGCUACUACUUCCUCAGCCAAAUUUUUCGCUGCCACACUGGUUUGCUGGCCUCUAGGCAGUUUCACCAAAUCUACAACAUGGUUAGGUAUAGCAGUAUAAACAAUGGAAAAUGGAGACUUCCCAGUUGCACUAUGGACUGCACUGUUAUAUGCAAACUCCAUCUGCGGUAGUGCAUAAUCCCAUCGUUUUGGCUUCUCUCCACAGACGCUUCGUACCAUAUUGCCCAAUGUCCGGUUUGUAACCUCAGUCUGGCCAUCAGUCUGGGGAUGGGCAGUGUUGCUACGAUUCAAAGUAGUCCCAAACAGCCUCCACAAAGUGAUCCAAAAAUGGCUCAAGAACUUGGUGUCACGAUUUGAUGUAAUGGAUGUAGGAACCCCAUGCAAGCGAACAACCUCCCUGAAAAACAGUUUGGCUAUAUUUGAUGCAUCAGCAGUCUUUUUGCAGGCUAUGAAAUGCGUCAUUUUUGAGAACCGAUCAACCACCACAAAUACAGAGUCCACUCCACUUUGUGUUCGGGGCAAACCGAGGACAAAAUCCAUAGCAAGAUCCUGCCAAAUAUCGUUAGGAACUGGUAAUGGCAUAUAUAAUCCAGUGUUUUGUACCUGCCCCUUCGAAGUUUGACAAGUGUAGCACUUGCGCACAAUAGUUCCAAUAUCUCGUUUGAGUUGUGGCCAGUAAAAUCUCUCAUCCAUCCCUGCAAUUGUUUUAUCACGGCCUAGGUGCCACUCAACCCUCCACCAUGCAAGUCCCGAAUGAGCUUCUCCCUUAAAGAGGAAACUGGAAUACACAACUGGUUGCCUUUGAACAAAUAACCUUCAUUAAGAAAGUAAUCUGCCACCGGCUCUUGAUUGGUGCACUUAGUCCAAAUUUCCCGGAAAUCAUCAUCACCUUCAUAUAAUUCCUUCAGACAUUCAAACCCCACAACUUCUUGAGUCAGCGUGACUAACAAUGAAGCUCUUCUACUCAGCGCAUCCGCCACACGAUUUGUCUUGCCAGAAGUAUGCUUGAUAAAGAACGAAAAUUUCUGCAAAAAAGUCACCCAUCUAGCAUGCAUUUUAUCAAUAUUUUUCUGGCUGUUAAUAUACUUCAACGCUUGAUGAUCUGUAAACAGAACAAAUUCCUUCUGGAUAAGAUAGUGCUCUCAUUACUUCAAAGCUCGAACAACCGCAUAGAACUCUUGGUCAUAAGUACUCCACUUUUGACGUGCUUCGCUCAACUUUUCAGAGAAGAACGCAACUGGCCGCUUGUCUUGUGAAAGCACAGCUCCGACUCCCACACCGCUGGCAUCACAUUCAACUUCGAAAACUUUCUCAAAGUUUGGAAGGGCUAGAACCGGCGCGGUGUAAAGCUUUUCUUUAUAUCUGCAAAGCUUCUCUCUUGCUCCUCUCCCCAGCUGAACCGACCCUUCUUCAAACACUCUGUGAUAGGUGCAGCAAUGGAGCUGAAAUGCCUCACAAAUCUUCUGUAAAAGGUGGCCAAACCAUGGAAACUUCGAACUUCAGAAACUGUUUUUGGAGCUGGCCAGUCAAGGAUUGCCUUGAUCUUCUCGUCAUCUACCUGGAUACCAUUCUCACCAACAACAAAACCCAAGAACAGUAGCUUAUUUGUGCAGAAAGUACAUUUUUUUAGGUUCACAUACAGUUUAUUUUCUCUCAAAAGAUCUAAAACUUGUCUCAAAUGCACAAGAUGUUCCUCUUUUGUGGUACUGUAAAUUAAAAUGUCAUCGAAAUAAACUACGACAAAAGAGCCAAUAAAUGGUCGAAGAACCUGAUUCAUGAGUCUCAUGAAAGUGCUAGGCGCAUUUGACAAUCCGAAUGGCAUCACCAACCAUUCAAAUAAUCCGUCCCAGGUCUGAUGCGAAUCUGGUGGUAACCGCUUCGCAAAUCUAUCUUGGAAAACACCCUUGAGCCGCUAAGAACAUCCAGCAUAUCCUCCAAUCGUGGAAUGGGAAACCUGUACUUGACUGUUAUCUUGUUGAUUGCUCGGCUAUCAACACACAUUCGCCAAGUCUUGUCUUUCUUCGGAACUAGCAAAACGGGAACUGCGCAGGGACUCAAACUCUUCCUGAUAAAUCCCUUCUGCAGUAAUUCUUCAAUCUGCUCUCUUAGGAUGUCAUUCUCCUUGGGGCUCAUCCGAUAAUGAGGCAGAUUCGGAAGGCUAGCUCCAGGCACCAAGUCAAUUCGGUGUUGUAUGUCCCGCAUAGGUGGCAACUCGUUCGGCAAUUUUUCAGAAAGUAGUUCCUGAAACUGUGACAAAAUCUGCUGCACGUCUUGUGGAAUGUCACUUUCUCCUCUGCCAAGCUUCAACAACCCCUUCAACACCAAGGGACAAAAAUACUCCGCCUCUUUGACAGCCUCGUUCAACUCUUGCUCGCUACUAAUUAGGGUUAGGAAACUAGAACUCCUCGUCUUAGGCUCAACAGAUUGUUUUGAGGGCUUUGUAGUUGCCAUUGCAAUUUUUCGGUUGUUCCAAGAAAACAAAAUUACAUUAUCUCGUCCUUGUAAGUCGCAUCCACAUCAAAUUGCCAAGGUUGCCCUAAUAAAAUAUGGCAUGCAUCCAUGUCAAUAACGUCACAUAAUACAUCAUCGCUGUAAUGCUUACCAAUGGAUAGUGGCACACGGCAAGUCUCAGCAACAUGAACUGAAGGGCCUUUUUUAACCCAACCUAGUGAGUAAGGGCUGACAUGUGGCUCCGUUGAUAGCUGCAAAUGCUCCACCAAUUUCUUUGACACGAAAUUCUCGCAACUUCCAUUGUCGAUGAUCACAUCACGCACCUUGUUUUUGAUUGAGCAGAGGGAACGAAAAAUACUAUGAUGUUGCCCUUCCUCCUUUGGUGCCAAAAGAAAUCUCUGCAAAACCAAGGUAAUCCUCUCCAUUCCUUCCUCAAUUGCAAAUUCAGCCCCUGCAUAAUCAUCUUCCCCGACUUCCUCUUUUUCCUCAUCUUCAUCGACCUCCUUGAUAAAGUUAGCCUACUUCCGCUCUGGACAAACAUUAGAACGAUGUCCUGGUUUUUGGCAACGGUAACAUAUGUCCGUCAUGGGCUUAGCAUACGGAUUCUGGGUUUGGUUUCGGGACUGCCCUCUGUUGAAAGUCCGGCUGCUGCUUUCGUUAAAGUUUUUGUUUUGGACAGUUGUCGCUGGUUUUGUCGUUCCUCCAGGUUGCUGUUGCGCUUUCCCCUUAUCUCCGGAGCCACUAGAAGCACCAGUAGCAUACUCAGAGGCUUCCGUCGUGUUCCUGCGGAAGUUGGGUUGGCGCUUCUCCUUCUCCAACAGUUCAGCUUUCAUCGCCAUGUUAAUCGCCUCUUGCAAAGUCCAUAUAUUCUGCAUACCAAUUUUUUCUUGGAUGGAAAUCUUCAGCCCAUUGUUAUACCUCGCGACCUUUUGAUUGUCAGUCUCGGUCAAAUGGUUUCGCUCUACCAAACGCAUGAAUUCUUCGGUAUAUUCAGAAACCGAACGGUUGCCUUGUGCACAACCUAGAUACAUACGGUAUAGAAUCUGCUCAUAAUCUGUGGGCAAGAAUCGUUCCAUCAUAAGCAACUUCAUCUUCCACCAUGUACGAACCCGCUGCUUUCCUUGCCUCUGCCUUGAAUUUUGCAAUUGAUCCCACCAUACAGCAACUGUAGCUUUUAGACGGAAAGCUACCAUCUUCACCAUUUUAUGCUCAGGAACCUCCAAAAUGUCGAAAAACCUCUCCACUUCUACAAGCCAAUCCAAGAAGUCUUCAAUCUUCAGAUUUCCCCAAAAGUUAGGGAUUUCGGCUUUAAUCCGAUAAUCGCCAAAAUUUUCGUAAUUACGAUUACGACGAUUAUUAGCCGGUGGUGGUGGUUCCUCAUAUUCUUCUUCUGACUCUGACUCGCUAUCCGGAAUAUGUUGCCUCCUAUUAUCUCUUCUCCCGCCAUCUCUACCUUCUCUUCGAUUGUCCUCCCUGCCUUCUCUUCUUUCGUCAUCUCUGCCACCUCUUCUAUUGUUGCCACCAAGAGCUUGCAACAACAAUUCUCGCAUCUCCCCAAAUUGGUUGGUUAGGUUGUCGAUCCGUUGGUUUUGAGCGCCCAGAUCCGCUCGGGUAAUUGGGGCUAGGACAUCAGCUUCUCGAUCACCCAUGAUAAGAAAAGACAAGAAUACCAAAACGGGAGAGACCCGCUCUGAUACCACUUGACGCAGCACAAGCAACAAAGGUUUCAAGCGAAACCUUGAGUAACAAGAAAUCUGGAUUCCACCAGAAAUUAAGAGGAAUUCUCUUGGGAUAAUUGUAUUAAAAUCUGUGAUGAUCAGAAACGUUAGACAAACCUGUCUAUAUACGCAACUCUCAACCCUUGAACUGCUACCGGAGUUAUUACAUUAAAACUGAAAAACAGAAUUAAUUCGGAGACUUAACUACGUAACUCCGAAACUGAAAAAACAGAAUUUAUUCAGAGAAUUAACUAUGAAACUUUGAAUGCAGUUUUGGAAGGCCAAACGAUAUCAGAAUGCCAAAAUCCAUCGUACCAUCAAGCUUGUCUUAGUGAAAUAAAGCACUUCAUUGAUUUCCACUUAAAUUAACCGGGUUCUUUUUCUGUUUUUUUAUUUUUUGCUAUGGAGUGUAAAAAUUAGAAGCUCCCAUCCCAGAGCUAUAAUUUGUGUACAUUCAUUAUCAAACAUUUCAAAUUAUUUGGGAUUUUUUUUUAAAAUAAAAAAAACUUUUGAGGGUUAUGGAGGUUCCAAGGGGUGGAUAUGGACUGUGUGAUUUGCCCCACUUUGCCAUCAAGCUUGGCAAAAGGACUAAAUUGAUUUCUACUUAAAUCAACUGCGUUUGUUUAGUGUAAGGGGGCAAAAAAAAUAAAAAAUAAAAAAGCUCCCAAAACUAUAAUUUUUAUGGUUUGCUUGUGCUACCCAACCUUUGUGGUUGGGAGACCUUACUAAACCCGAGGAUAGGGGGUGUGCUUUUUGCGACUUCACCCACCAAUGCCAAUGUGAACAAUUCAAGACCACUAAUGCUUCACCUAAGAAUGUUUCCAUAGCAACUAAUCACUUUAAUGCUCUGUUUAAUUACAAGCCCACGCUACUAAGCUCAAAAUUAUAAUUUUUGGAUAUUUAUAUUAUCAGACAUUUAAUAAUAUGGUGAACUUUUUGAAAUCUUUUUGGGGCUGUGAAGAGAUUCCAGGGGUGGAUUGUGUAAAUGUAUCGAGUCUACAUUUAAUAUGUAUUGGGUCCGCAAAAAAAGAAUUCUAUCCUUUUCUUCGUGCUAAUUAAUUAACUUAUACAGUCUAAAAGAAAAGAAUUCUAUCAUAUAGUUGGAAAAAUAAUAAAUCAAUUAUGAUUUCUUUUUUCUUUUUUUGUUCGAAAUCAACUAUGAAUGGAGUUGGACCCUUAUACAGCUCAAGAAGGGGAGGAAAAUAUGUAUAUUAGGGUCGGAGGCAAAGGUCUAGUCACCUACCGUCUUGGACAUACAACAUGGAAAUAGGGUGACACAUGCCCACAUACGACCGACGCUAGCAUAUUUGAUAAGCGUAAUUAUAUAUCUUCUAAGUUUAUCAUAGUUAUGUGUCAAUUUUAGAUCCAAUUGCACACACCUAAAAUACGAAAACAAAAUCAUAGACAAUACACUUUCCUAAUCUUUUGGAAUUUCUAGAGGCUUCCGGAUCAUAAUUUUGAAGUCGUGGACCGGCGCGGUCCUGGGUUGACUUUUUGGGGCUUCAGCACUUUUUGAAUCCCAAGAUACUGCUAAACUAUUCCAAGUGGAAGGAAAGUUUUUUUUUUUUGCCAUAGGAACAACUUUAAUCCGACGCACGUACUUCUAGGAGCCGGGGGUCAGUGUUUUUAAAUUAGUACUAUAUUGAGUAUUGUAUUAAUAGAAUAUUAUGGUCAUUGAAUCAGGCACCCGGGCACCAGUUGACCCGCAGGAGGGACCUUCAAGAGGUCCAGCGAGCACGAACCACCAGUGAGUGGACUCCAUGUUUCAUAAAUGAAUUUAAGCAGUUCAGUUACAGUAUUUGAUCUUGAAUAAGUUUUAUUCAAAUAUCAGUGUUUUAUAAGCUGUUAUAUGCUUUUAAAUAUUUUGUUUUGCAUGCUGCCGAGUGGAAUAUCCUUUAAAGGAUAUAGGAAAAGAAAUUCUAGUUAAUUAUCAGAUAAAUGGCAGCAGAAUUUUAGAGUUUACAGAAGUUCAGUUAUUCAGCAGAUUUUCUUCAGAAACUUUAUAUUUCCCUAAACCGCCUUAGGUACUCAGAUAUACAAAUGUUGCCUUCGGUAAAUAAGUUGCCUUCAAAUCAAAUGUUGCCUUUGGAUUUUAUUGGUUGCCUUCGGUUUAGCUUGACAGUUGCCCCACGAGUUCUAUGGUACCCGAACUCAUGUGGAGCAAGUAAUGCGGAUCAGGCUGACUACGGUCCCCUGAAUCCUGCUAGUUGCGGCUCAGACUGACCUUGUGUCACUGAGACCUGCGAGUACGUGUCACCCAUGGUGAUGCGAGGAAUUGACGGAUAUUAGGAAUUGACGGAAAUAAGGGGUACACCUAGGUGGUAGUUUUAAACUGUUUUCAAUGCUUUUAAGAAAUUAAUGUUGACCAUGAGUAUGAUUGGCAUAUAUAUGUAUAAUUACAUGAGUGCAUUGAUUUCAGUACAAAUAUAAUAAAGAGAAUAAUUUAGUUUGUAUAACUGUUUUUACAGUGGGGUUAAUAUGUUCUUAUGUAUUUUUCUAAACUUUGUUUUUGGGUCCACUCACCCUUUUAAUGUUUUGCGCCCCCAGACAGUAGGCGUGCAUAGUGAUCCACCACCGGGCCGUUUUCCACCUUCCGCGCUUUCCUUUCUGAUGUAGGACUUUUUGUUUUGUAAAAGAAUUGACUCCUUUGUAAAUUCUUAGUAGUCGUUCUGAUAAUUUGCCCUAGAAUUAGAAUUUAACUGUUGGAAUGUACCUAUACGUAUGCUGGCAGUUGGUUGUGUAUAUAUGCUUGUUUAGCAUGUGUAAAUGUUUUGGUAUUGAUCCAGUUACAAGGGAGACUCUGCCGAUUUUUAGGUAGGAGUCAAUCUUGUUAUUUUAUCGUGCUUUGUAGGGAAGGGCAAUUAGGUCAUUCAUGCCCGACAUCCGACAGGUGUCGGACACGCACAGGGUCCGGCUAGGAUUCCAAAGCAAAAUUUAGGUCGAGUCUUGUCAUUAAGGACAUGUUGGGCCUUAGUUAUGCAAUAGGGUCCAAUGUUGCUCAAUUCAUUGUAAAGGAUUUUUGUUUGAUAAGUGGUCUAAAAUGUGGAACAGAGCCUAACAUAACGUCCAGGGGGGAUGCUCAUAAUCAAUUUAUGAAAGCGCAUUUUACCAACAGGGGUCACAUUACUUGCCAUGACUUAGAAAAUGAAUUCCUGAAGUCCAAAAGAGGAAGUGAGGACUCGUUCAAAUUGGGACUGCUAUAUUUUGUGGAGUUUGUGAUAAUAGGUAAACCCCAAAAUGUGAAGAUAAACGAGGAGUACUUACAUUUGGUUCAUAAAAUGGACGAAUUCAACCAUUAUUCGUGGGGAAUUCCCCCCCUUAGAUAUUGUAAGCGGAUCGAGGAACCUGCAUUAGUCUCUCGAAUUUGUUGGUGAGAAUCCACGGAUAAAGUGCUUGAGUUUAGAAAGCUGAACGCUUAUAUAUUUCAAAGCAAACAGGUGUGUAGUUAAUAAUUUAUUUCAGUACUAUGUUCGUUUCAUGAGGAAAACUGUUUAGUAUUGUAUAUGACCUGUUAACUCUAUGUGUUUGAUAGCCUGUUAUACUGCGCCUCUUACGACCAAGGCAAUUGCAGAUGAGCCAACCGUAUUGGAGUUGGGGAUCAGAUGUUUUUGAAUGUGAUGCACCUAGUGUAGCUCCGCGGGUAUGUAAGGACCUUGAUGAGUUAAACUCUGUUGUGCAGCAGUUGAGGAAUGAGGUUGCAGUAUUGCACGUGAGAAGGGUCAGCUAGAGGAGAGAGUUUUACGCUUGGAAAAGUGUACCAGUCAUGCAUACGCGAGGAAGACUUGGGAUGCUGGAGAGGAGAGGAAUAAGACUGAGGAUGUUAGAGAGGAGAUGAAUAAGACUGUGGAUGCUGGAGAGGAAAGUCAGAAGAUUGAGGAUGUUGGAGGGGAGAGUGAUAAAAUUGAGGAUGCUGGAGUAGCCAAAUCGAGAGAGCAUUGUGUAUAAAAUGCUAAAGAAGAGGUGCAAUAUACACCCCCGGAUAUAAAUUGGGAUGAUCCGGGUGUGGUAUGUGUCACCCUUGUUAAAUUUCUUACGAAUCCUCCUCGAAAGAUUGACAUGUCCACUGCUGAGGGUGAAUGUGGUGAAGAUGUUAUAGUUGGGGUCCGGCAAAAUAAGGGUCAGGAAAAGAGUGAGAUUCUUGGCCAUGCGAUGAAGAGGCGAAGGGCAGUGGUGAGGGAAACUCCGUGGACAAGUCGGGAGAUUCCUAAUAUUUCGGAGGACACAAUUGCUGACCCCUUAAGGCCUGUUCCUCGUGAUUCCCUUUUGGAGGUGGUGAAAUUCUGCUGGGAAUGGGGACAAGAAGAAAAGUAAUUUCCCAUUGCCCGUCCUUAGUGAAAUGUAAAUGGUUUAUUAUGAUUAGUUAUUGAGUGAAUGGAAAAACGGAAUUGAUAAUAAUAAUGAUUGACAAAUAUAGUUCACAUGUGCGGUUAUGUGGAGAAGACGGUUCGGAAGGUUCACAUAAACUUCUUUGUUCGAUUGCUGACCAAGGAUGGUUGGUUGGAUGACUCGAUGAGCAUUGAUUGAUUUGGGAUUUUGUCGAAAUGCCCAUGCUAUGUAGUGAUUUAUUGAUUUAAUGAUUUAAUAAUGGAAACAACCAUUUUAUGUGGUCAGAUUAUUAUAUAUAUAUAUAUAUAUAACUAUAACCCAUAUACAUAUAUAAUCAAUCUAAACGAAAUUUUAACUUAUAAGCAAAACAUUUGAUUUCCAAAUAUAUAUAUAUAUAUAUAUAUAUAUUUUAAACCGGACUUCACAAUAUACCCUCCUUAAAAGAAAUUUCGUCCUCGAAAUUUAAAACUUACUGGCAUACAAGAACAACUAUGGAUAUUUCUUAUGCAUUUCUGUCUCUAAUUCCCAUGUAGCUUCUUCAAUAUUCCCAUGUAACCAAAGAACUUUAACUAGUAGCAUAAUUUUCGUUCGUAACACUUGUUCUUUAUGAUCUAAUAUCUGUAUUGGUCUUUCCUCAAAAGAUAAUUUCUCAUCUAUGUUUAGUUCUCUCCAAUCUAGGACAUGUGCUGGAUCUGGUUCAUAUUUUCUAAGCGUAGAGACAUGAAACACAUUAUGAACAUUCGAAAAUUGAGGUGGUAGUGCUAACUUGUAAGCUACUUCCCCAAUUCGUUGUAGUACUUCAAAAGGUCCAAUAAAUCGUGAGGCUAAUUUUCCAAACUUUCCAAAUCUUUUAACUCCCUUUCGAGGUGAAACUUUAAGGAAUACAUGAUCCCCAAUAUUAAACUUCAAUGGCCUUGUUCUUCUAUCAACAUAAUUCUUUUGUCGACACUGAGCUGUAAGCAAGCGUUGUUUGAUAGUUUUGAUCUUCUCUGUUGUUUCUUGUACCACAUCAGGUCCUAAUAACAUAGUUUCACUUGCUUCCGCCCAACAUAAAAGUGAUCUACAUGGUCUACCAUAGAGUGCUUCAUAUGGAGCCAUUCCGAUGCUAGAUUGAAAACUGUUGUUAUAAGCAAAUUCUGCCAAACCAAGAUGAUCUUCCCAAGUUCCAUGAAAAUUCAAAACACAAGCUCUUAGCAUAUCUUCUAAAAUCUGAAUAGUCCUUUAUGAUUGUCCAUCAGUUUGGGGAUGAAAUGCACUACUAAAAUUCAAUUGACUUCCUAAUGCUUUUUACAAAGUACCCCAAAACUGAGAAGUAAACUUUGAAUCUCUAUCAGAAACCAUAGAAAUAGGAAUUCCAUGUAAUGUCACUAUCUCUCGAAUAUAUAAUUUCCCAAGAGUUUCUGUGGAAUCUGUCGUUUUGACUGAUAUGAAAUGUGCAGACUUGGUUAAACGAUGUACAAUAACCCAUAUUGCAUCUUUACCUUUAGGUGAUCGUGGUAAACCUAUUACGAAAUCCUUUGUGAUAUGAUCCCAUUUCCAUUGUGCAAUAAGUAAAGGUUGAAGAGAGCCAUCGGGUUUUUGAUGUUCAGCUUUCACUUGCUAACAGGUCAAACAUUUUGAUACAAAAAUGGCUACAUCUCUCUUCAUACCAUUCCACCAAAACUGAUGACAUAAAUCCUGAUACAUUUUUGUACUUCCUGGAUGAAUAGUGUAUGAUGAGUAAUGAGCUUCAUGAAGAAUUUCAUUCCUUAAUUCUGGAAUUUUGGGUACAUAUAGUUUACCUAAAUACCUUAAACCAUCUUCUUCAUGAAAGGUCCAACCUUCUAUUUUAUCUCCAUCCAAAAUAUGUUCUUGAAUUGAUUUACAGGUGUUAUCCUCUUGUUGUUUUUCAACAACUUUCCCUAGCAAGGUUGGUCUUGUUACAAAAUUAUAAAGAUAAGUACCAUGCUCAUGUACGUUCACCUGUAAAUCAUAAUCUUGAAUACAAUUCAUCAUCUUCCAUUUCUGAAUUUGUAGUCUUGCUACAAAUCCAUGUAUAUUCCUACUCAGAGCAUCAGCUACUAUAUUAGCCUUCCAGGAUGAUAAUGUAGACCAAAAUCAUAAUCUUCUAAGUAUUCCAUCCAACGUCUUUGUCUCAGGUUAAGCUCUUUCUGAGUGAAAAGAUAUUUCAAACUUUUAUGAUCAGGGUAAAACUCAAAUCUUUCACCAUACAGAUAAUGUCGCCAAGUUUUUAAAGCAUGUACAAUUGCUGCUAAUUCCAAAUCAUGUGUUGGAUAAUUUCUUUCAUGAUUCUUCAGUUGACGAGAAGCAUAAGCUACUACUCUGUCAGAUUGCAUUAAAACACAUCUUAACCCUUGUUUAGAUGCAUCAGUAUAAACCACAUACCCUAUGUCCUGUUCAAGAAUAAUAAGUAUUGGUGCGAUAGUCAAUCGAGUUUUCAAUUCUUGGAAUGACUUUUCACAUUCUUGAGUCCAUAUGAAUUUCACUCCUUUUUGGGUCAGCUUGGUCAUUGGUGUAGCUAUUUGAGAAAAAUCCUUGAUAAACCUCCUAUAAUAACCAGCUAAUCCAAGGAAACUACAUAUCUCCGAGAUAUUCUUUGGCUGACUCCAAUUCAAUACUGCCUCAACUUUGGAAGAAUCAACUGAAAUACCUUUAUUGGAAAUUACAUGUCCUAAAAACUUUACUUGUCUCAACCAGAAUUCACACUUACUCAACUUUGCGUACAAUUGAUUUUCUUUUAAUGUUUGUAAAACAAUUCGUAAAUGUUCCUCAUGUUCUUCUUGAGAUUUGGAAUAUAUAAGAACAUCAUCAAUGAAUACGAUGACAAACUGAUCUAAAUAAGGUCGGAAAAUUCGGUUCAUCAUAUCCAUAAAUGCUGCUGGUGCAUUUGUCAAUCCAAAAGGCAUAACUACAAAUUCAUAAUGCCCAUAUCGAGUUCUAAAAGCUGUUUUGGGUAUAUCUUCCGCUUUAACUCGAAGUUGGUGAUAGCCAGAUCGAAGAUCAAUCUUUGAAAAGAAAUGAGAACCUCUUAACUAAUCGAAUAAAUCAUCAAUUCUUAGCAAAGGAUAUUUGUUCUUUAUGGUGACCCUAUUUAAUUGACGAUAAUCAAUACACAUUCGAAGAGUUAAAUCUUUCUUUUUCACAAAGAGAGUAGGUGCACCUCAUGGUGAAGUACUAGGAUGGAUAUAUCCUUUUGCUUGUAAUUCUUGGAGUUGUAUCUUAAGUUCUUUCAGUUCAGCUGGGGCCAUGCGAUGAGGAGGUGUAGAAAUAGGUGUUGUACCUGAGUAUAUUUCUAUACAUAGGAAUUGAAGGAGCUCCCUGCUAGAGGAAAGAAGAUUGGAGUAAAGUGGGUACAUAAAACGACAUGAGAUAGACUAUACAGAAGUGUUUGUACCUGUGACAUGGUUGGAUACGAUUCGUAUGGUAAUAACACUUUCAACUCAAAGACAAUGGACAAUCUACCAGCUGGAAGUGACCUGCAUGGGGAAUGAAAUGAGGAAGUGUUUGUUGAGCAGCCUCAAGGUUAUGUCCACAAAGGCAAUGAACAGAAAGUCUAUAGGCUUAAAAAGGCUUUAUACAGACUUAAGCAAGCUCCCCGAGCUUGGUAUAGUUGUAUAGAGGCUUGUUUCGUGAAGGAUUUGAAAGAUGUCAUUAUGAACACACCUUGUUCACAAAGACAACAAAGGAAUGUAAAAUUCUAAUUGUGAUUCUUUAAGUUGAUGAUAUCAUAUUUACUGGAAAUGAUGAAUCUAUGUUUGCUGAGUUUAAGAGAUCAAUGAUGCUUGAGUUUGACAUGACUAAUCUUGGGAAGAUGAGGUACUUUCUUGGUAUAGAAGUUAUGCAAAAGACUGAUGGAAUAUUCAUUAGCCAAAAGAAAUAUGUUUUGGAGGUGCUGGAAAAAUUUGGAAUGAAUAAAAGCAUUUCGGUUCUUGAUCCCAUUGUCCCAGGUUGCAAACUUUUGAGAGAUGAAGAUGGAGUACAAGUAGACAGUACCAUCUACAAACAGAUUGUGGGAAGCCUCAUGUAUUUAACUGCUACUCGACCAGACAUGAUGUUUGUGGUAAGUCUUAUUAGCAAUUAUAUUUGUAAUCCUACUGAGCUUCACAUGGAGGCAGCAAAGAGAAUUUUAAGGUAUCUAAGAGGAACAACCGGUUUUUGGGUGUUCUACAAGAAGGGAGGAAAAAGAGAACUGAAUAUUUAUACGGAUAGUGACUAUGCAGGAGACCAAAAAGACAGGAAGAGCACCUCAGGUUACGUUUUCUUAUUCAGUUAAGCGGUGGUGUCCUGGUCAUCAAAGAAACAGCCGAUAGUAACUCUAUCCACCACUGAGGCAGAGUUCAUGUUGCUGCCUCUUAUGCGUGUCAGGUAGUAUGGUUGAGAAGGAUUUUUGGGAUGCUUGGUAAAAAUCAAGAUAGGCCUACAAUUGUUUGCUUUAAUAGCAGCUCAGUAAUCAAACUUGCGAAGAAUCAAGUGAUGCAUGGACCCAGCAAGCAUAUAGACGUUCACUUCCAUUUUCUUUGGAAAGGUGGGAACUGUGGAAUUGGUGCAUUGCAACAAUCAAGAACAAAUUGCAGAUGUGAUGGCAAAACCUCUCAAGUUGGAUGCAUUCGUGAAGCUGCGAAGUAUGUUAGGUAUUUGUCCAGAACCAUGUGUAAACUGAUUGCAAGUUGCAUUCAGUUUAAGAGAGGAAUUGUUAGGUUGCAGUUAGAAUUUUUGAUAGUGUGUUACUACUUGGUUAAUAAAUCCUUAGUGUUUAGGGAGUAUUUGUUUGUUUUGACUUAAUCUGUUACCACGUAAUAGGUUUAUUAAAUGUGGGCUGUUUUUCCAUUCUUAGGUUACUCUAUGUAAGGCUACUUAAACAACCAUUGCUUCUAUUAUUAACCUAUCAAUUUAUUCUUUAAAAUACUUGUAAUCUGAAAAGCUCUUGUUUUCAACAAGGAAAGGAAAAAGAAAAAGAAAAAGAAAAAGAAAUUUAGUAAAGUAAUUAAUUAAUUUACAUAAGCUAAUUCUAGGGAUAUAUGAAAUUGAACUUCAUUACAAAAAUUUACUUAAGAAUAAAAAUCAGAAUCAUAAAACCACGAAAUUCAUGGGUUCUUUGAAAGAAAAGAAAGUAAGAUGAAAAUAAUAUGCAUGUGGUCUUUCUGACACAAAAGAAUUAAAAUAUUGUUUACCUGAUUGUGUAGAGUUUUUCUGUCAGUUGUUGUUUUCUUAAAUUAAAUCAUUCUGGUAAGACCUAUGUUUCGGGUUGACAUUGUUUUUUCUUUGAUGCAGAGGUAUAUAGAGCAGCACAAUGAGGUUGAGCUCUCAGCAAUUUGUUUGUAAUUAAAUUUUCUUUAUUUUGUUUUGUUUUUAGAUUAUAACUUUUAUAUUAAUGCUUGAUAUUUGUUGUUUUGAGUAAAAAGAGUAUUAAUGCUUGAUGAAUUCAUUCAAUUUGCAACGUGUGGAUAUGAAUUGGGCCAAUCGUGAACAAUUAGGCCCAAAAGUUUUUAAAUUUCAAUUGGGCUAAAACUUAAAAAAAUUCAAGAACAAAAAAACUCAAUUGAGCUGAAGAGUCGGUCCAAACUGUAAAAACUGGAACUGAAUUGGAUCUAAACCAAUUCGAGUUGGUCCAAUUUUCACGAAUAUUUUAGUUAAAACCUAAAUUAGACCAGACCAAAUGAACAGUACCAAUUUCAAUUUUAAGUUGAAAUGAGAACAGGACCGAACUAGACCGUAACCAACCCUAAUUGAUUAUACUAAUUUCCGCAGAAUAUAUUUUGUCCGCAAAGAAGAGCUUUAAAUUCAUGGAUGAGUUGGACCGUAUUGAAAUUUCAACCAAAGAAGUCAUAGAAAGCAAAUUCGGCAGUGAUGUUGAAAAUCAUCUGGGGAUGCUGUGCUCAUUGAUACCGGAAUUCAUCCAUGAGGAGAAGUUUGGAGUAGAUUCUGUAAUGCUGUGAGUCCUUUUUUUAAAUAAUAAAUAAAUAUUUUUAAAAUUUGAAAGUAAAUAUAGAAAUGCAUACUGUCUUCCAACUGAAGAUAUCUUUCUUGCAGGAUUACGCCAUUCGGAGAUUCUGAAAGGAUGCUUGAAGAGAGGCAUGGACAUACGAUUGCCUCAAGUUUAUCAUCUCUCCUCUACUAUAUGAUUCAUUUAAUUUUAAUGAAUAAAUGUUGUUACAUGUCUUGCAGGAUUCAGAAAGGAAAUAUGGGGAAAAGGUUGAUAUCUACUAAGAUUAAGGACAUGCACAUUUGGAUUGCGAAACUAGGUCGUUCCGAAAUGUCAACAGAUGAGCUGAAGCGUGAUAUCAUUUUUGGUGAUCUCUAUGCAGAUGACAGAAGUAAGCAAUUGUACAUAAAUGUAUUUUGGGUGACCUACUAAUUCACCUAAUUCCUGUUUCUUUGCAGGUGCCUUUGUCCAACAACUAGAGUUGCUAGUCUUCCUUGUUCCACAGUGGAUUUUGAAAGAUCCGGAAGAGAAUCCAAAUAAUUUUAGGUAUUUUUUUUAAUAGUUAGAAAUGCAGAUGCUAAUUGUAUAUAUCUUGCCCUAGAAAAUUAAAUUAAUGAAUAUUUUCCUGCCUUUUCUUGUAGCAUCUGUAGAAAGAAUACUAAAGAUGCAAAAAUAAAGCUUUACCAAGAAAUUGAUGAAAGAACACUUGGAGAAUCACCAUCAUUUAAUUUAAGCAAAGAUGAUUUCCUGCUAAAUCUAAGAAGAUCGAUUGUAAAGGAUUUCGGGGUAUGGUUUCUGCCCAGUUCUUCAAUUUUAUUCUCAUAUUAGAUUCAAUUGCAUAUUCAUCCUCUUCAGCAAAGUAUAUAUUGAACUCUUUUGUUUGAUUAAAAGUAAUUAACUUGAUGUAGUUUUCUUGUUAGUCUUCUGGUCCAAGUCUACACACUACAGUUAUUAGCCCUUCUGUUUUACUUUUGUUUUGCCUGUUACUGUGAAUUUACCUUCAUUUCUUUAUGAUAUUGGAAUUUCAACUGGUGCCUGGGGAUAGUAUCUACUAACUAAUGCUAGGCCUUCGUGUUUAGUCAUCUCACCGGUUGACUACUAGUCCACUAUUCUUAUACCUUUUGACUUUUUAAUUAAAUUUUUGUUUCUCAAUGAAAAAUGGAAUCUCGUACUGGUUCAGUGUUUUACUGAUUGAUGGUAUACAUAUUUCGUCAUGCGUGUGGAAUGAAGAUGCUAAACUAUGUCUAUGUAUAAGGUAUUAAGCUCUGCAUGAUUUAUUCUAGUCUAGUAUACUCGGGCGUUUAGCACGCACUGCAAUGCCUAGAUCAUAUUAUUGUUCUGCCUCGAUUGGGAAUUCGAUUUUAGAAAUCCAUGGUAGAAUUCUAUGAUCAACUAUAUAUAUAAUUUUUUUAAUUUUUUUAAUUUUUAUUUCAGUUGUAUUCUUGUGACACUAUGGUUAAUAUAUGCGUGUUUGCAUCGCACUUUUACAAUGGAAUUGGUCCCGAUUGUAGCAUAUUUAUGCCAUGAUUGGAUUGUGGGAUAUUUAUGUGCUUGGAUUAUAGUGAGGGGAUCCAGUUUGGUGUCGUUGUCAUGACCUGAUUGCAUAUCUUGUUCUCGGGUCUUAAUGUAAUUUCAAGUUCUAGCAUUUUUCACGUCAAUGGCAGCCACAUAUUCUUUCUCAGUAUCGGAGAGUGGUGAUUGCAGUGAUAAUUCUAUGAAUGACUACCCAUAUCACAUGAAUUUUUGUUGUCAAUCACAGGAGUGCAGCACCUGCUGGGAUGAUCUCUACAAUGACGAAGGAUUGAGCGUAGACACACUGCCUUGUGGUCACGCAUUUCACUGCAAGUGCGUGAGGGAGUGGUGUGUAGAGAGUGGCAGAAACACAACAUGCCCAUUGUGCAGAGGGCCAAUAAUACCGAGAACCAUGUGAGUAUCAGCAAGCCUUCUGCCUCUUCACCUAAUUAUUCCCCUCCAACCCAAAAAAUUGAGUUGCACCAAUUCAUAAAGAACUCGGAAAUUGAAGCAUGCCAUUUAACUUUAGAUUGCAAUCAAUAUAUAUGUUUAAAUAUUUUCGCAGUGCUUGAUAUUAUAAUCAUUUUUGAGGUAUUUAGAAUGAUUAGCAUGUAUCCUUACCUAUUUCAGAUUUUAUUCCAUAGAUUAAGAAAAUGAUGUGUUUGAGCCAAGAUGAAUCGCAGGGUGGACAAUUCAUUCUCUCAUGAAUUCUGUUGGAGAGAGAUAUGUGUUUCGUAUAUUGAGGUGAUGUAGAAAAUGGUUGAGGUAGUACCUGUGAAGAUGGAAAAUGGAAGAUGUGUGAUGCGUGUCUUUGUGCAUCCUGCUUCCCUUUAUGAUUAUUCAGAUGCAUGAUGUUAUUUCUCUCAAAUUAUUGGGCUUCUUGUGUAAUUUAUUUAUGAACUUCUUUACCUAAGUAAGAUAAACUAAUAGGCAGAACAAGAAAACAUGAAAGCUAAUGACAUUCUUAUUUGAAUUAUUGCAGAAAUAUGGCAUGAGGGAAAGCUGAUGACUACGUUGAUGCUGAUGAGAUGACUUUGAACUAGCAAACUUUGUAGGUUAUGAGUUGUUAUGUUUUUCUUCUCGGUUAAAGAUCUAGUCACUUGUUAUAAAAUAACCUAGAAUAUGGGCGAUAAUUCAGAGCUGCACGUAAAGUAGAUGAGACACAGCAUUUAACGAGGUUCGGCUAUGCCUACGUCCUCGGAGAGCAGCAGUAGUAACUUUUCCACUAUGUAAAAUAAUAGGGCUACAAGUUUAGUGUUUACAAUAUAUGUGGCUCACUGAAUUUUCUCUCUAGGAGAAUUUCUCUCUGCUCUCUCUUUCCUCUUUCUUCCUUCUCUUCCUUUCUCUUUUUUCUUCUCUUCUUCUUUCCGUUUCUCUUCUUAUUUAUAGGCUGAAAUAAUCACUAUUCAUCACUGUUCACCCGUGACAGACAAACUCUAUCAAAGCCGCCAAAUGAACAGUAAUGAACAGUAAUGAAAACUCUAUCAAGCCGCCAAAUGAACAGUAAUGAACAGUAAUGAAUAGUUAGUGGGCUCCACAUGUUUAUUCUUUUAUUCUUUUACAACACUCCCCCUUGGAGACCACUAAUGAUAUGUCGGUUGUAUCAUUAAAGACUUGCUUGGAGAAAACCUAGUAAGGUAGAGAACUGAUGGAAAGAAGAGUACAACAAUCUAUAUAGCAUACUUCUGGAUGCUCCUCCUGAUUAAUAUCUCCCCCUGAUGUCUUCAUGACUAUCUUUUGGAUUGAGAAUCUUUCGGAGUGAGUGGAUGAUGUAGCCACCAACAAUUCAUAUAGUAAAUAUAUUUUCAGUGAGCUAUCUCUAUGUAAAUCAUAGAAAUUUUCAGAGUCCGCAUAUCUAAUAACGACUGGGCUAUUUAUAAGUUCACUUGAAAGAAUAUGCCCAUACAUGGUGUUAUGCGGAAAUAGCAUCAAAUAUACCUCACAUCAUCCCAAAAUGAUGGUGAUGGAGUUGAGCCUUAUCUGGAAAAUAUGAUGUCCGGUCCAACAUACUUCCGGAAAAUCCUUAAAGUGCCCAACGGAUAAUUCUCAUAAAAAUGCUUCAAUACUUUCUUAGUAUAAGCAAGUAUCUCGUUGGCAUAAUGCUCGAUCUUUAAGUCGAGACAAAUAUUUCUGGAAUUCUUGAGAAGCUUGAAUGUGUUGCAAACACAUUAUAAUCAAUAUACUCACUGAGGCAAUUUAUGUACAUUAAUAUUGAGUACAGAUUUCGUGCUUCAGGCAUAUGUCCACAGACUUGCUUCAUGCAAUUUCAAUCCUUUCAAGGAUUUUGUUUAAAGGGAUUAAACUCUAUGACACAUUAUAUAGCUUUAACCUAGCUAUUUAUACAUCUUUAGGGAAUCACUUCAGGUGAUAUGCUCUGUGCAUUUAAUAACCCUUAAAGAUAACAUGUUGGUCUCCGUAAAUGUGCAAUAAAGGGGCACAAUUGAAUCUAUAAAUAUGGAGAAAACCCAACAUCCCUUGUUUAUGUCAAAAACAUUUAUUCCGAACACCCAAGUAUAACUUUUAAUAUUAACAUUUUUUAGGAUUCGUACUGUGGGUUUGUUCUUUCACGUUCAUUCUCAUCUAUAAUGGAAUUGCCUCAUUCCAUUUUGGCCAAUGAUAUUGUCGACAUUUAAUAAUUGAACGUGGUUCCAAUCAACACAGCCCAUUGAUGAUUUGAGUAGCUACUCCAAAACCAAAAAUUGUCAUUCAUCAAUUCAUGAUCCCACCAUUCUCAUGUGCAUGCGCAUGCAUGAAUUAUAAGCAUUUAUUUGCCUUUGGGUACCCAAGCCACUUCAUGGGGCUUUUAUUAUGUGAGAAUGUGGAUUAUAACCUCCAUUGGAGCGUUAUUUAGUAGUAGGGCGUGGAUAAUCUCUAUUUAGGGAGUUGGAACAUUGAGAACCCAUAUAUCUGUCAUGCUGCAGGCAUGCCACAGAUUAAUACAUACAUGUCAAUUAAUUUCUGGGACUUUAACCCAUAUUAUGGGACUUUAACCCAUAUAAUUUGCUACGCAUUAGGCGUGCAUAAUAUCAAUAUUGACAUGUCAAAGGAUUGUCCAUUUGGGACUUCAAUCCACAUCAUUUGCUACGCAACAGGCGUGCAUCAUAUUGAUCACUGCUAUACCCAUGUUAUGUUCUUAUGGGACUUUUAAUCUGUGCAGUGUAUUAUCAAUGUAUACAACUUGCAAUCUGUAAAAUUUGCAUUAAUAAUUCAUGGAUACAUACAAGUCAUUCUUUUGGAACGGACUUAUCUCCCCAUUUGGUUACCUUUCAAGAUAAAAUAUCAAAUAGGUAUAUAAGCAUAAAAUAACACAAGUAUUGCUUACAUCCUUAGGUGGGAGAAACUUUUCUCAAGUAUCAUUCAAGCUCAUAUCAGCCCAGUAAAUGUAAUGUAGCGCUUGAUGAUCUAGUUAUAUCCUGCAAGAGCAAAAAUCACAACUCUUUUCCCUCUGUCAAAACAAAUAACCCUUAUAGUUAGGAUUACUUCAUGGAUUCAUUCUUCAGAUGUUCAUUCUAAAGAAAUAAAAUCUCUUAUGAAUAGAGAGUUAUAAAAAGAGAAAAAAUGCAAAAAUAAUGUGAUAUUGAUUGCAAGAGCAGGUAAGCAAUCAGGGAAGGAAGCUGGUGGGAGCAGACAAUAAGCUCUCAUAUCUCCUAGUCUAGAAGGACCUCAGGAGAUUAGAGCAUAAGGCCGCCUUUACAAUUCCCUGAUCUUGCAGAAACAUGAUCAGGGAUAGUCUUGCUUCCUAAAUGGAUGAUCAGAGAUAGUCUUGCUUCUCAGGCAUAUUAAGUGCUUACUGAUAAGAAAAACAAGUAGAUAUCGCAUCACUAGGUAUGGAGUAAACUGGAUGUCUUCUGCAAAUAAAAUUUCGUUAGUAACACAUUUAUACACAAAUACAAUGAAUAGGUAGAACCGGUGAAUUUCAAAUUAACCAUAGGAAAAUUGCGAGAUUCUCGGGAUGCUGUUGAAAAAGUGCGAGAUUUUCGGGAUGCUUUUGAAAAAGUAGCUCCGUGAAAUCCGUAAAGCAAGAUCGGCUUUGAAAAUAAUGCUUGAAAAAGCCGAAAGUGCCGACAGGCAUUAUUAGAGGCCACGUGAAGUUUUGGACUCUAGGAAAGAAAAAGAUAAUAUGGGGAUUCGAGAAGAUAUUGGGGUCCUGAAAAACAGUAGCCAUAUUUCCUCCUAUAGAUAUAGCCUUUGUAAAACUUGAUUGGAGCAACUGCGUUUCAACUCAAAUUUCUUCAUUUUCUGAAACUUUAGUUUUCCUAAGACUUUCUUCGAAACCUUCUCAAAAAUGGCUUCCUCUUCUUCCUGCCCAAAUUAUUUCAAUUUAAAUGAUGCUCCAACAGCAAACAGUGACGCCAAAGUUUGGCGUCCAUCCUUUGUAUCCCAAAAUCGUCAUCUCACAGUUAAUGAUUCUGUGAUGAUGAAUGAUGCUACUGCUGUCAUAGUAGCUAGGAAUUUCAUUACUCCAAUGGAUGAAAUGCUGUUAACAGGGAGGUCUGAGGAAGAGGCUAUUGAUGACUCAAUGGCUUUUAGCAUUCAGAGUGCUGUUUCUGUUUCUAACAUGGCUGAUCGUUUGCGUGUUAGAGCAAACGAGGUUGAAAAGCUGACAACUGAAAAUUCGUCUCUCCAAAGAAUGCUUCAUGAGUCUCAACAGGAGGUUGAGAAACUUAAAGGAGAGAAUAAUUCCUUGUUGAAACUGGUGAGUUCGUACUCAGUUGAUACACUGAGAAGGCUAGACAUGCUGCAGGUCUCCAAUGAAAGAAUUUUGGGAGACCACGAGAAGCUCAUGGCUAAGCUUAAGAGGCGCCGUCCUCUUCCUUCAGAGGCUUCCAGAACAUAAUGUAAUUUUAUAGAUUUUACAGGGCCUGCACCUUCAUUGCAGGUGGAAAAAAUCUAUCUGUUGUAUGUUUCUGUAAUAAUAAUUGCGCACAUUCUUAAACUUGCACCUGUGGUUUUUACGUCUUUUCAAAAUGACGGUUUGGAACCUUGUGCCUUAUAGGUUCAAAUAACCACAUUGUCUCUCCCAAAUUGCAUGGUAGCCCGGAACUUUUGGCCUGGGCACAAAACUCAGAAUUUAUUUGCCCUUUUCAAAUGGACAUGAAAUAUGAAUUGAGUAAAAGCCACGAUAAUAUCGCAAUAUAGUAGUGAAGAGCAUUAACUACUAUAUACCCACAACUUCAAGUUCAGGAUCUCUCAUAUAUUUGGAUCCAUGGGCUUCCGGCCCAGGUAUAAUAAAAUAUGUGGGGAGCAUCAAUUCAUUAUUUGAAGUUUAUAUUGAUAUUAUCCAUUUCGCGGUGUAUUCUUAACAACCGGAAUUCACAAAAUAUAUUUCUUCCUUGAGGUGUCGAUUAUAACAGAAUCGAACUUUAUUAAAUUCAUCAUCUUCUUAUGCUAAAGAAAUAUGUGGUGUACCACAAUUUGUAAUAAUACCUCAAUACUCUUAAAUUUUGAACUUCAGGCCAAAGCCACAUAUUCUCAUGGUAUGGACAUUUUUACAAUUUUCUGUACAUAUUCCGGGACUUCAAGCCCUUACAUAAUUGUCCAUAUUUUGAGGAACUUCUGGCAUCUCAUUUAAUUUCUCAUCCAUGAGUUUAAGGAACUGCAGGUUCCCUUUUGUAUAUAGUGACGGUUUACCCAAAAUGGUUCAUAUUUAUGCAUACGUCACUAUUCAUGUGAAUAGUACUGUUCAUCAAGUCAUGAAUACAUAUCUAUUCAUGUGUACAGUACAUCUGCCAGUACAGUUAUCAUCCAUGUGUACGGCACUAUGAACCAAUACGGUACUAUUACAUCAUUAAGGAACCCCAGGUCCUUAUUCACAUGUCAGGGAUCAAGGACCUUUAAGUCCAAUCACAUGUUUACAAGUAUAGUACCGGAGAGACUGCCAGCUCUCAUAUCAAUAUCAUCAUCAAGGAUCUUCAAGUCCUGAUGUAAUUGUAUGAUGAGGAUCAAGGAAUUGCUGGUCCUGAUCUGCAUACUGUAAAAACUCAUCAUACAGCACAUUUAGUCUAUAAAAUAAAUUGCUGGUAAAUAAAUUACUGGUAUGGACGAUAAAACCCGCACCACACUUUAAAUAAAAGUAAAGGCGUGGACGAUAAACCCGCACCACCCUUUUAAAUAAAUGUAAAUGUGCGGUAAUUUAAAUUCAUAAAUUAAACGUGCGUGUAUGGGCACUAAUUCUGCUCCAUACUUUUAAAUGAACGUAAAGGCGUGGACGAUAAACCCGCACCACCCUUUUAAAUAAAUGUAAAUGUGCGGUAAUUUAAAUUCAUAAAUUAAAUUGUUAGUAUUAGUAACGGUCUCCCACUGAUAAUAUGUUUAGUAUUACCAAGGGUCCAUUUUUGUUAAUGGUUAGUAAUAGAAAAGCAGAUAAAUAUAGUAUAUUAUAUUACCAUCAACUUUUCAUAUAUAUAUAUAUAUAUUAGUGGAAAGCUAGAUGCGUUGGCUUUUCUUCUUUACAUCAACAUAAUGGUUAGUAUUAUAAAUAAUAGUGCAGCACAAAAAUUAUACCUGAGAGCUUCUCGUGCUGAUAACGUGUUAUAAAAUAACCUAGAAUAUGGGCGAUAAUUCAGAGCUGCACGUAAAGUAGAUGAGACACAGCAUUUAACGAGGUUCGGCUAUGCCUACGUCCUCGGAGAGCAGCAGUAGUAACUUUUCCACUAUGUAAAAUAAUAGGGCUACAAGUUUAGUGUUUACAAUAUAUGUGGCUCACUGAAUUUUCUCUCUAGGAGAAUUUCUCUCUGCUCUCUCUUUCCUCUUUCUUCCUUCUCUUCCUUUCUCUUUUUUCUUCUCUUCUUCUUUCCGUUUCUCUUCUUAUUUAUAGGCUGAAAUAAUCACUAUUCAUCACUGUUCACCCGUGACAGACAAACUCUAUCAAAGCCGCCAAAUGAACAGUAAUGAACAGUAAUGAAAACUCUAUCAAGCCGCCAAAUGAACAGUAAUGAACAGUAAUGAAUAGUUAGUGGGCUCCACAUGUUUAUUCUUUUAUUCUUUUACAACAUCACUCUGUUUGACAAAAAGGAAAAAGAAAAAAGAAAUAGUCACUCUGUGAAUGUACUAACCAUUGUGGGCGUAGAUUAUGGAUUUUUGAUGGGAGCAUAACCAUUUGUGAAAGCUGACUACGCAAUUGCAUGCUCCUACAAUCACUUCAUGGAAGCUAGUAAAAGGGUCGGAUUUAGAUUAAGCAUUUUUGACGUGUUUAUUAUCCUGACCCGAACCCAAAAAUGGGGGCAUGGGUUUGAUUUGAAGUGGGCCAAAUCGAUUUGGGAACGGAUUACCCACAGCCGUUAGAUUGCAACGGUCACAAAGACAUCAGAAAUAAAGUAAAAGCUUUACCAAUUAAAGUAAAGUGCCUUGACUUGUGCGCGUGCGUGAACAUGGAAGAGGGGUCGGUUGCUGGGAUGGGACCUUUUUUAUUUUAUUUUUACGUCGUCUUUAUGUUGUCUUUUUUUUUUUUAUAUAAAAAAGUCUAUGUUCAUAGAUCAUCUUUGCAAAAAAUUAGACAUCAAAACUAUUUCGACAUCCAAUUGUGUCCUACGAAAUCAAUGAAUACGGUGCUUCAAGAAAGUAUUAAAAUUUCAAUAACUCAAUUGAGUAGUUAAAUAAUAUCGAAUUCAAGUGAUUUUUUGUGGAGAUAAUCUUUGAAUGAUUAUCCAAAAAAUAGAUGUUUUGGAUUAGUAAAAUACAAUGCGAAAGGGCCUUACAAGGUUGUCCAAGUUUAAAUAAAAAAAUGUGUAAGAAAAGACAAACUUGUGCCCACACGGCCCGACCCAAAAAAUAAAUAAAACCGGUAAAGCCCGGCCCCUGCCCAUUGACGAACAUUACCUCCAACGUACAAAGAAGACACCCGCCGCCUGAAGACAGAACCCUAUCUCGCGCUCUCUCUCUCUCUCUCUCACUCUCAGUUUCCUUGCACAGCACAGACAUGGUGAAGCACUACAGGCCUCCCGUAAGUUCUAAAUCUCCUCAAUAAGUUGCUCAUCUAUAGGCUAUAUCAUCAUCAAUCACUUUCAAAUCAAAAUUUCAAAUUUGUAAUAUAUAAAUAAACAUUUUCUCUUAACUUAGACACAGCUGCUUAGUUUUCUUUUGUCUAAUUUUUUCAGGGGAAGAAAAAGGAAGGUAAUGCUGCAAGGUACAUCACCAGGUCACAAGCCGUCAAGCAACUUCAAGUCAGUCUACCCCUCUUCAGGUCUGUCUGUUUUUCUCCAUCUUCCUUCCCAUACCUACCUCUACAGAUCAUGGACAGAUUAAACUUGUAAUUUGUAUCAUCCAUUCAUUCUCCUGUGUAUAUAUAUAUAUAUUCCUAAAGUUUAUUAUUGUUCUUUCUUCAGUGAUGACUGAGACUAGCUCAGCUGCAUAUAUUUUCUUUUUGUUAUAAUUAUUAUCUAUAAACGUUUUAUUCUUUGUAAACUAAGAAAAUAAUAAUUUGUCUUGUACCUAUUACGCAGUAGUAUUUCAUGAUGAUUUUUAUGGCUAUUCAUGCAAAUUUUAGGAAACUAUGUAUUCUCAAGGGGAUAUUCCCAAGGGAGCCAAAGAAAAAGACCAAAGGGAAUCACCAUACUUAUUAUCACUUAAAGGAUGUUUCAUUCAUCCAACAUGAACCAUUACUCGAGCGCUUAAGAGAGAUCAGGGCUUAUCAACACAAAAUAAAGAAAGCCGAGGCCAAGAAGAACCGGGAUCGUGCUACUCUUCUCACACAAAGAAGACCUUCUUACAAAUUAGAUAAAAUUGUUUUGCAGAGGUUAACUUUUUCUUAUUCUUAUUCAAAAUAAAAUUUUUAUUAAAAGUAUGCUGACGUUGCUCUCCCCCCCUCCCCUCUUUCUUUCAUUGUUUGUCAUGAAUCUCUGCCGAUUGUCAUUUGUUAUGUUCCACGAAAUUGUGCAGGUAUCCGAAAUUCCUUGAUGCUCUUAGAGAUUUGGAUGACUGUCUCACAAUGGUUCACCUCUUUGCUGCCUUACCUGCUAUUGAGGGCCGUAUUGAAGUGAAACGCAUCCAUAACUGUCGGAGGUGAGACUGGCGUUGGAGCAUGUGAAAAAACAAUUAUGUUGAAUUGCAUCAUUCCAUGCAUGAUCUGAUUUUACCGAGUAUGAUUUUCUUAAGCCCUUUGUUGCUUUCAUAUUUUUUUCUCUAGGUUGGCUCAUGAAUGGCAAGCUUACAUAUCUCGUACUCAUAGAUUGCGUAAAGUCUUUGUGUCUGUUAAAGGCAUAUAUUAUCAGGUGCGGUAGCAUACCCUAUAUCAUGGUUUUUUUUAAUGUUUAACUUUAACUGUGGCAUCUUGUGUUUUUUGGGUACAGAGGAUUUAUACGGUACCGUUGUGUUGUAUGUCUGUGCAGGCUGAGGUUAAAGGGCAAGAGGUCACAUGGCUGGCUCCUCACCCUUUGCAGCAAGUUUUGACUGAUGAUAUUGACUUCAAUAUCAUGCUAAACUUUUUGGAGUUUUACGAGGUUUCAUUCUUUUAUUCUUCUAUUUUAAAUCAAUAUAUGUGCUAGCUGUAAAUGGUAUUUCGUAACUUUAGCAUCCAUUAAGCUUCUUCUUUGCUUUCCUUCCAAUGAACUGGUUACUUGAUCUUCUUGAUCAUACAUGCGUUAUAAUAUCCAUUAAGAUUAUUCUUUCCUUUUCUUAUAAGAAGUCUUUGCUCCCUCCCCGGUGCAGGCACUUCUUGCCUUUGCGAAUUGUCAUUUAUAUCAUUCCAUAAAUGUGAGGUAUCCACCCAUUCUUGAUCCUCGAUUGGAAGCUGUAGCAGCAGGUGUGCAUUUUUACUAGUUGCUUUCCUUAGCUUCAACUUAGCGUUUUUGGCAAUGUUGAGUUGUGGAUCUUGUGUGUGUUAAUGGAGCAUGAGUAUGAUUUAAUUCGAUUGUAGAUCUUUAUGCUCUAUCAAGGUACUUUGAUGCAAACUCUCAAUCCUCUGCGUGGGAUAGCCAAACUCCAAGUUUGUCUGGAUCUGGGAAAGUUGAGAGCCAGCAGAUUGGACCUUCGAUUGAUGAGUCUGAACUAAGACUUGCACAACUGCAGCAUCAACUCCCCUCAAAUGAACCUGGUGUAUUGAUGCACCUUGUUGGGGAUGUUCCGGGUGAGGAUAAAGAGGAUAACGAUACGAGGGAGUGCACGAAACUCUUCAAAGAUAUGAAAUUUUUCUUGAACCGUGAGGUAAGUCCUAAAGUUUUACGUUUGAUUUCAGAAAUACAUUUAUUUUCUUUUUCAAAACUUAUUUUCUUACCAGUAAUGCGUCACUCAAUUUUGUAAUGCUAUAUCUUUCUUUUAGUUGAUCCGCAGUAGAACAUGUACUUUCUCUAUGUUCAGGUUUACAGAGAGUCUUUGCUUUUUAUCAUACCUGCUUUUGGUGGAAUUGUUUCCUGGCAAGGAGAUGGGGCUCCUUUUGAGGAAGAUGAUGCCAGCAUCACCCAUCAGGUAUUCUGUUACAUUAUCUUUACAUCAAGUCAUUGAUUUGUUAAGACAUCACACUUGGUCAACAUAUACGACAACUGUAGUGUCACUUGCCAAAGAAGGAAACGAAAAUACUAAAAGCUAGUCUUUAGUAUAACAGUUCUGAAUGCUACACUGCUUCUAUGUUCUGCAGAUUAUUGACAGGCCAAGGCAUGAUGGAAAGAUCUGUGGUAGACAAUAUGUUCAGCCACAGUGGGUCUAUGAUUGUGUAAAUGCUCGGAUCAUUUUACCAACUGGGGAUUAUUUGGUGGGAAGGUAAUAUUGAAGGACAUUUUCUCUUAUUGUGCGUGUGUUUUGUUCAUCUCUCUACCUCGCACCAUGAUGAAAUGACUAGUUAUAAGACUCGUGCUAUGGUCUGCUUUCCUUGGCUGUGUUUUUCAUUUCUCUAUUGGCUAAUAAAAUUUCAUGACCUGUAAGAUCAUUGAUUUAGUGCUCUUUUAACAGGGAUCUUCCUCCACACUUGUCACCUUUUGAUGACAAUGACUAUUUCGAGAUCACUGAACGAGGGAAGGCUGCUGGCAUAAAUGAAGUCCUGCCACUGCCUGGAAUGGAAAGAGAAGACUUGGAAGAUCCUCUGAAGUUACUGGCCGAAGGUGUUAUUAACCGAGCAGAAGCAGAAGCUGCAAAGGAAAAGCGGAAGAAGGUACGUAGGCAGGUUUUGAAGAAUGUAAUGCUUUGUAAUGUUGAGAUGCACGAUAUCUUUCUGCCAUUUUAUGAUGUGAUCAUAUGCAAGGAAUUUAACUAAAUUCUGGCAUGAUGUAUGCAGAUGAAGGCUCAUGAGAAGCAGUAUCAUCAUGAAUUAAUUAUGGAAAUUCAGGGUGUCACACAUUCAUCAUCUAUCUCGAAUAUAGAUAAUCUGAGCGCUGAUAGGGAAGAACCUCAUCAUGAUUAUGAGCAAGUUGACGAGGAUAACAGAAUUAUGUCUGAACUUGAAUGGUCACGUUCGUUCAAGGGGCGUAUUAAAGCCAUGAGGGUAAGUAUUUGUUAAUGCUAGAUAUCAUGCUACUUUUAUUGGUCUCUAAAGUGUGGCAUUAUUAAUUAAACAGGUCAGAAUAGCUGUUUGAAAACAGAACAGUCAAAUUUUGUUUGGCUUGAUUCCAUUGGGAACCUGUUUUGAGAUUUGAUAGUAUAUUUUAUUACUGGCUUGAACAAGGGUUAGCUUGUCAUAAUAUAUCUUCUUCAUUUGGUUUUGAACUUGCAUUGCAGUAGAAUUUUGUGGUGGUUGAUCUGUAGAAUUCCUUCAGAACUCCAGAAUCUACCUCUUCUUUUAUCUUGUAAAUGCAAUGGAUAAUAUUUUGUCCUGGAUAUCUGAUUCUUAGAUGUUUCUUCAUUCAGAUAAGCAGGCAACGAAAGAAGCAGUGUGCUGAUGUUAUCAGGCAACGGAGGAAAAUCUUAGAAGAACAUGAAGUCUGAAGUUGGACCAGUUGAAAAGAAUGUAUCUUGCAGACACGUCUUUUAGGAAUUUCUCGAGAUUAAGAGCCCUAUGGUUAAAUUUUGCAGUCCUGAAGUUUAUAUAUAUAACUAUCUAGAAAUUGCUUGAAAUGUUCCUUUAUUUAUAGAUUCACUCAUCUACUUAUAACCACUAAGCGGUUUUGCUAGAAACUUAUUUAUUAAUAAGAAUUCAAGUUAAUGGCUUAGCUAGCGAGAAACAAUUGUGUGUAACGGGGAUAGCCGUUUCACGCAAGCUAGCCAAACAUAUAAUGAGACAUUGGAAGUGCCUCUGGACCAGGCUUCCCCAUAACCUAUUCUUUGCGAAUUAAUAAAUGAUUGAAGAAGAAGAAGAAGAAGAAGGAGAAGACACUUGGGGGGUGUAUUCAAUAUGAUUCUAGAGCAUUUUAAAAGAAUUUUUUUAAGUACUAAAUUUCAUGGAACUCUAUGGAAUUUUUAGAUUUUGCAUAGACUUGAAAAAAGUUCUUCAUAAUUUUGGGUAAAUUUUACUUGGGAGACUUUAGAAAAGCCCAAAGGAGAGAAAAAUUUUAAAAGAAGCCAAAAUGGACAAAUUUGCCCUUAUUUAUUUUUUGAUUUCCUAAGGAAUCCUUUACAUUUGCAUGUCUUUGGUUUGAAAGUUGAGAGGUUUUUCUGUCUUUUUUAAAAAAGCUUUGGCUUUUUCCAAAAGUGAAAGUUUUUUUAUGGGUAAAACCUAAAUUUACUAUUUUACUUUACUAGCCGCAGGUUUCCUAAAAUUCUGACUCUGCUACACAAAUUUAUUUUCUUCUCUCCUUUAAUCCCAACGUUUAUUUUUACUAUCAAUUUCAUUUUUCGUUAAUAUUUCCGUCAUAUUCUCCAUUAACCCAUGAGGUGGCAAUCAAUGAGCUUGGUCUUCACCUUCAGUGAUAUGAAAAGCUCUUGUUUUCAACAAAGAAAGGAAAAGGAAAAUGAAAUUUAGUAAAGUAAUUAAUUAAUUUAUAUAAGCUAAUUCUAGGGAUAUACAGAACUAAAAUUCAUUACAAAAAUUUACUUAAGAAUCAAAAUCAGAAUCAUAAAACCACGAAAUUCAUGGGUUCUUUGAAAGAAAAGUAAGUAAGAUAAAAAGAAUAUGCAUGUGGUCUCUCUGAUACAAAUGAAUUAAAAUCUUGUUAUUUCUAGGGAUAUACGAAAUUGAAAUUCAUUACAAAAAUUUACUUAAGAAUCAAAAUUAAAAUCAUAAAACCACGAAAUUCAUGGGUUCUUUGAAAGAAAAGUAAGUAAAAUGAAAAGAAUAUGCAUGUGGUCUUUCUGAUACAAAAGAAUUAAAAUCUUGUUUACCUGAUUGUGUAGAGUUUUUCUAUCGGUCGUUGUUUUCUUAAAUUAAAUCAUUAUGGUAAGAUCUAUGUUUCAAGUUGACAUUGUUUUUUCUUUGAUGCAGAGGUAUAUAGAGCAGCACAAUGAGGUUGAGCUCUCUGCAAUUUGUUUGUAAUUAAAUUUGCUUUAUUUUGUUAUGUUUUUAGAUUGUAACUUUUAUAUUAAUGCUUGAUAUUUGUUGUUUUGUCAAAAAAGUGUAUUAAUGCUUGAUGAAUUCAUUCAAUUUGCAACAUGUGUAUAUGAAUUGGGCCAAUCGUGAAUAAUUAAGCUCAAAAGUUUUUAAAUUUUAAUUGGGCUGAAACUUAAAAAAAUUGAAGAAGAAUAAAAAAAUUCAAUUGAGAUGAAGAGUCGGUCCAAACUGUAAACACCGAAACUGAAUUGGAUCUAAAUCAAUUCGAGUACCUGAAUCAGACCAGACCAAAUAUAUAGUUCCAAUUCCAGUUUUAAGUUGAGAUGAGAACCGUACCGUACCCAACCCUAAUUGAUUAUACUAAUUUGCUCAAAAGAAGAAGAAAAAAAGGGUGUUUUAAUCCCAUCAUCUCCUUAUUCUGCGUUUCAGACAUUGAGACCAGGCAGAGUUGGGUAAGCCCCUUCCACCACCUUCUUCUCCUUCUUCUUCUUCUUCUUCUUCUUCUUCUUCUUCUUCUUGUCAUUUAAUUCCAUGUAUUUUUUUUUCAGGUUGUGGAAGUAUUUUGUGAGUGGGGCGGAUUUCAGACUUCCGACGGAUUUCAGACUUCCGAUUUGGGGCUUUUUUCUUUACCCAAUGAGUGAAAUACUAAUUAAACAUUUUCCUGAAGCGAAGACUGUCAUUUUUGAGGAUGAUUUUCCCUUCUCAGAAUAUAUUUUGUCAGCAAAGAAGAGCUUUAAAUUCAUGGAUGAGUUGGACCGUAUUGAAAUUUCAACCAAAGAAGUCAUAGAAAGCAAAUUCGGUAGUGAUGUUGAAAAUCAUCUGGGGAUGCUGUGCUCAUUGAUACCGGAAUUCAUCCAUGAGGAGAAGUUUGGAGUAGAUUCUGUAAUGCUGUGAGUCCUUUUUUUAAAUAGUAAAUAAAUAUUUUUAAAAUUUGAAAGUAAAUAUAGAAAUGCAUACUGUCUUCCAACUGAAGAUAUCUUUCUUGAUUACGCCAUCCGGAGAUUCUGAAAGGAUGCUUGAAGAGAGGCAUGGACAUACGAUUGCC